UUGUCAAUUGUAGACCACCAAUGAUAGAUACCAUUAGCUAGGUAGUAACCCUUGUUGUCUUGGUGACCAUUGAUCUCAAAGUUAACCUCUGGGGACUUGCCGUCUGAAAGCCUCGUGAACACCGGAGAGCGUUGAAGGACGUUGAUGUCAUUAUGAGAACCUGCCAUGCCCAAAAAAGAGUGCCAAAUCCAGAGAUUUUGUGAUACCCCGGCUUCAAGUAUGACCGUGCAAGCUUUAACAUCUCCAUUGUAUUGCCCAUGCCAAAUAAAUGAAUAGUUCUUCUACUUACAGUGCAUACAAUCUGUGCUUUCAAGCAUUCUCAGAAAGUCUCUCGAUUCAUUGAUCGCUAAAAAUAGGGUUGUAACCGCAACAUUUGGUUCUCUUAAGUACUUUGGGCCAAACACUGCAACCGCAGCUUUGCAGAACUAGUACAAUCACGCAAGGCAUGUGGACUUGCUCAUGCGGAUAUACUCAUCCUCCCCAAGAUCACUGGAAUUCCAUAUGUAAGCAUACGAACAUCUGCGAUACAUUUUUGAUAAGAGGAGAAGCCAACCUUUCCAAGGGAAUCAUACUUGCAUUGGAAGUAAUCAUCAUACACCACCACUCCCUCCUGAGUACAGUUGAACACAUGCCUCGCCAUCCAAAAGAGUUGCUGGAAAAGGUUGGGAGGGAAUAGUGGGUCAUUGAGCUGGAAAUAAUCGCUAUAGAGUAGACAAUGGUCGCUCUCUCUGUUAUGACUCAACCCCGGGGCAUGGCCCGGGAUCAAUCCACUAAACCUUGGCCACUGCCUAGCAAUGUGCUCAUUAACGACCAAAGUAGCUAUCACAGAAUCAUCAUCAUCGUCGGACGAUUAACAUAUGAAGUUGUUGUAAAAAAAACUCAUCCGAGCUGUCCACUAUGAUGAAACCGUACCUCGGUUGAGUCGGACAAACAGCCGAACACCUUGCGAGCGACCGGUGAAUGGAUCCCUCCUUGGCCUGUCCACAAAGACGGAGGCAACAGGACUGUCAACCCCUGCUUCCUCCGGCGAUGACCUUGGGGGUAGCAGUGGGCUGCCGGAGGUGGCCGAGGAGGAGGCAGGCCGUAGAUGCGGCGUGCACAACGACGACAAAAGUGGGUGGUGAUGGAUGUGGCAAAAGGUGGUUCCAUUGGUGGAUGUGACAACGAGGGUGGGGCCGUGGCACACAUGCCAGAAGUGGGCGGCGGCGGGGGGGUAGGGGGGUGGUGUGGUGCUGGUUGGGGGUGGGGGAGAAUGGUCUGUGUGCCACAGACGAGCAGGCCAGGGGGACAAGGGAAGGACGCCACGGGCAUCCACUCUGUGUCCACAAGGACACAAACCCGACCAAAAUUUGGGCCGAAAAUGAGUCCAAACGGACAUCAUCCGUUUGCGUCGGCGUGUUGGACUGCGUUUUUUGUCUCAUACUUGUUUUGGACGAUAGAGCAAGUGGCAUUUCAUACAUGUUCAUCAUACUUGUUGUUGGUGUUCGAAGUGCUAACUUGCUUUGUUUUCAUGUAGUACCAAAUUGCACAAAACUUGUUCAAAGAAGAGGAGAGGAAAACUUAGAAGGGGAAGAUCAAGAAAGGAAGGGUCUUUACCUUGCCUCAUUGCUAUAACGUGUUGAAGGAUGAUGAGAAAUGGAAGAAGCGUGAAGAUUUGGAUGAUUUGCAUUUGAGCAACAAACGCAAGCGCACAAUUGAGUUGAAUGAUGAUGAUGAGGAGGAGGAGGAUGCAUCAAGUGAUGACGGCAAGAGAAGCCCCACACACAACUCGGUUUCAUACUCGAAGCCAAAACGACCGGAUGGGUGCAAGAAAGACAAAACAGAAAAGAAGAAGAGGAAAGGAGAUGAUGAGCUAAAAAUGCUAUGGAAGCUAUUGUGAAGGCAAGAAAAGAAGCCAACGAGGUGAGGAAAAUGGCAAGGAACCAAGAUGCCGCGGCCGAGGAGAGGAGGUUGGCGGCCGAGGAGAGGAGGGUGGCGGCCGAGGAGAGGAAGGUGGCUUUGGAGGAGAGGAAGGUGAGCAAUGAGGAGCGAACAAGAUUGUUGGAAUGGGAGAAGCACUUGUUCUUCUUGGACACAUCUAACCUCAAUGAGGCGCAAAAGGAGUUUGUCAAUCUUUCCCGUGAAGAAGUCUUGAUCCAAAAACGAGCCAUGAUUCGCGCAAUGGGUGGCGGUGGCCUUGGCGGCAUGGGUGGCGGUGGCCUUGGCGCCAUGGGAGGCAUGGGUGGCUUCGGAGGUACCGUGGGCGGCUUAGAUGCCAUGGGUGGCUUUGGAGCUACCAUUGAAGGCAUGGGUGGCAUGAGUGCUUUUGGAGCACCCCCCGGCGCAAUGGCUGCCAUGGGAGGCAUGAGUUUUGCUUCUCUCAUGGGAGGCAUGGGUCCACCUCCGGCCGCCAUGGGCGGAAUGUCUUCCGGUGUGCCUCCUCACACACAUUCUCAUGAAGAUGCCGUUGAAGAUCUUGCCAACACCGUCGGAGCUUCACGUGAUGCGGUGCGCGAUGAGGAGGAGGAAGAAUCAUCUUCGGAGGAGGAAGAAUCGUCUUCCGAAGAUGAGGACGAAGACGAGGACGAGGCUUGAUGUGUCUUUCGUUUGUGUCAUGAUCUUGAUUUGCAUUUUGAACUUGGUUGGAUGAACUUGUGGGCAUGAACUUUUAUUUAUCAACUUGUUUGUGUGAAAUUUAUAUGUCAUGUUCAUUGCGUUUUGAAUGUUUGAAAUCCAUUUAUGUCCAAAAUGCAAUAUAUGCAAUGCCCGGCGAGUCGCGCGUGCGCUGCAUUUUUGCGCGGCUGUUGGAGCCAGCGCUGCAGGCCGCGCAAAACCAGGCGAAGCGCGCGCGGCGCGUUGGGCGGCUGUUAGAGAUGCUCUAAGUUACUACCCAUUGUGGCUAGUCUAACGAAAGUGAUGUUUGGUCACUUCGAGCGCUUGCCAAAUAUCCCCUUUUCUCAUGUAUACGGGUGAAAUAAUUAAGGGAACUGUUUGGGGACGGCGCACCGGCCGAACGCUCAGCCGGUCGCGGCCACGCGAGCAAGCGGUCCUCCUACCUCCGAGCGACACGUAUGUAUAGGGCCCACAUCCCAAUCGUUGCCUUAUCUUCUCUUUCAUCUUCUCAACCGCUCGUUCCUUUCUUAUCUGUUCUCUCUCUUCCACGCCGGCGAGUCCGCUCCCUUCAUCCAAUUUUCAGCUCGACGCCGGCAAGCCGGCCGCGCGUCCCCGCAGCACCGCCGUGGCAUCCGUUCCGUCCAUCCCAUCUGGCUCCACUCCGACGACGGCGACCUCCGCAGCCGCUGCAACCAAGCUAGACUGGCGAGGCUGCUUCCGUCGUCAUCGCCAUGGCUAGCAACCACCCCAAGAUGCCCCAGGCUGGCUCCGUCGGCCCUACUCCGGCGAGCGCCACCCUCCCCCUAUGCUGGAACUGCCCUCCUCCUAGUCCUAUGGUUGCAUCCCCGAGGAGCAGACGCCGAAGCUGGAACCAGCCACUUUUUUUAUACAAUCGACCAAAGCAAAAGCUGGAACCGCAGUUGGUUUUUGCUUCAACCAACAAGCGAGUUGGAACCACAGCUGGUUUUUGCUACAACUGCAUCGCAUUUUCGCUACAGCCGGCGUUAUGGAAAGCUACAACCGAUGCGGUGAAAAGCUUCAACCAGCGGGGACAGAUGCUGGAACCAACCACUACCACGACAAAAUGCUACAUCCGGUAUCGCACAAAGCUUCAACCGGUGUUGGAAAAAGCUUCAAACACUGAAUGCCAAUGCUACGGGCUGGCUACUGCCAACAGGGAAAAAGCUUCAAGGUGUCGCAAAAAGCUUCAACCGUAGCCGAUUUUUGCUACCACCGGCAAAGCUUUUUGCUACAUCCAUCAGGCAGAGCUGCGAUCUCGUGAGGACGACAAUGAUGUUUUUGCUGCAACCGCAGCAGGAUUUUGCUACUACCGUUAGAGUUUUUUGAUACAUCCAUGUAAGGCGGACCUGCGACCUCGCGAAGGCGUUUUUGCUGCACCCGUAGUUUGAUUUUGCUACUACCGGUGAAUUUUUUUGCUACAUCCACUCAAAUGGCGUUGAUUGACUCGCGGCCGGCGUCGACGUAUUUUCCUGCAGCGAGCAUCAAUGGCGAGGGCGGCGGAGCUACAACCGUCGUCGUCAAGAGCUGCAACCGCAUGUGGAGCUGUUGCAUGGGUCGAGGCGACAACGAGCCAGGAGGGUGGCGGGCCGGCGACGAGGACGGCCAGUGAGGGCGGGGUCCGGCCAGCGACAAGGAAGACCGACGAGGGUGGGGACUGACGACGGGGACGACCACCGGAGGGGACAGGAGGCGCGGUGCCGUGCUCCCCGAGCGGGAGAUGCGGAUCCAGGCCGACUGCCCAAGGAAGAAGUUGGGGGCGAUCUGUUUUUUUUUUUGCCUGGAUCCAACGGCUGCGUGGCUCACAUCCGAUGGCCUGGGCUAGACCGGCCGAAAUGCUCGGCCGGUGCGCCGGCGCCUAUAAGCGCCCAAUAAUUAAUGAUGUAUAUGGGGCCAAGUGCAAUUAAGACUUUCGUUUUUCCCUUAAAAAAAAGACUUUGGUUUUUCAUAGGCAGGCCGGCGCGCGGCACCCGCCCGUCCGCCGUCCAUCCCAUUCCCAGCCCAGCGGGCGCUCUCUCUCUCUGUCCCUCGCUCGUUCCAGUACGCCCCAGCGGGUGCGAGCGCUGCGACCAGCGUCGCGCCGCCGCCGCAACCUCCGGCGGCUGCCCCGCUAUGGAUCCGGCGGUGGUCGGCGACGGUGGUCGGCGACGGCCGUGGGAGGCCGAUGCGGCGGCGAGGCAUCUCGCGUCUUCCCCGCCUACUCGUCCGAAGGUGCCCGCGAUUCCCCUUACUCGAAUCGAUCCAUCAAGCGAGGUUAGCUCCGGGGAAUUUUUUGUUCUUGGGGGACUGGAACUACCGCGUUGAAUCGAUUCAAAAAAGGAUUCAGUACUGAUAGCCGUUUGCUCUGCUCUGUGGAUGCUUAUGCUUAUGGUUUCAUUCAGUACUACAAAAGCUUCUGUAGUUGGAUGAAUAAUCUUAGGCCUAGGCGUCAGCCGAUUUAUUUUAGGCAAACUUAAACCGCCCCUAGAACCGUCCGAUUCAGUCGCACCCAGCCGCAGGAUCCGGCAGCUCCCAUGCCAGCACACACACAACGCUAGCCCACGGCAGCACCGCGCAUCACCGACGGCGCCCCGCGGCGCUCCAUUGCAGCCUCGGCGGCGCUUCGAUGCAACCCCGGCGAAGCUUCAAUGCCAGCACUGACGGCCUCCGGUGAGCUCCAUUGAAACCCGACGGAGCUCCAGCGCAGCAACGACGCUCCGGCGAACUCCAUUGCAACUCCAGCCGAGCUCCAUUGCAGCCCCGAUAAAGCUCCAACGGCUCCGGCUAAGCUUCAUUGCAACUCUGGCCGAGCUCCAACGCAACACUGACGCUCCGUCGAAGCUCGAUUGUAACUCCGGCCGAGCGCCAUGGAUGCUGCGUUGAAGCUUCGUCGCCGGCGAGCAGCGCCAUGGAUGCUGCAUUGAAGCACCAUCGCUGUUGAGUUGCAGCUCUGCCGCCGGCGAGUAACGCUAUAGAUGCUGCGUUGAAGCACCAUCGCUGCUGCGUUGCAGCUCUGUCGCCGGCGAGCAGCGCCAUGGAUGCUGCGUUGAAGCUUCAUCGCCGGCGAGCAGCACCACAGAUGCUGCGUUGAUGCACUGCAGCUUCGACAACCGGGGCGAGCACUGCAACGCAACACUAGUAGCCGCCGGCGAGAGCUCCCUUGCAGCCGAGCAGUACCGCCGCCGGCGAGCUCCACGGGGUCGGGGCGCUGCUUGUGCUGUAUUGUAGCUCCGCCGCUGUGGCGAGAUCCAUGGGGACACGACUUCCUCCGACGAUGGGCGGCGCCCGCUUCCGGCCUUCCCGUGUUGCGCUGCAUAGCCGGCGACGAGCGGCGCCAGGCUCCGGCCUCCUCCUUCAUGCUGCAGCGCCAUGCCUCCUCUCCCAUGCGUGACAACAAAAAGGGGUGGGAACUGGGAAGGAGUGGGGGCGAACGUGUGGACACGAAGAAGAUAAGGCUGGGGCGGUUGCGAGCCACGCGUGGGGCUGGACACGUGUCGUGCGUUCCAGGCGGUUUGCGUGGCGUGGAAAUCAGUCGGUUGAUUUCCAUCGUUUUCCAUAAUCUUAACCUACCGUGCAUCACCCCUUUAUCUCUACUUCUGUAGGCAAGCAUUACCAUUUCUACACAAAAAGCAAACAGGAACCACUGUACUUCACAAUUCACCGUUCACGAACAUGAAGUCGACGACUAAUUAGCAACCGAGGCGCCCGGUUAUGAUUCAACAUUACACUAUGCACAUUAUGUAGUCAUCCUUUUUUCUGUCUGAACAUGAGUAGAUUGUCUUCCCUUUCAUUACACGCUCUUAACCAAACGCACGUCUCUGUUUCUGUCUGAACUUUAGUGUUAAUAAAACAGGAGGAGUCCCCCUCAGCAAAGCAACGACAUCAUGCAGGAUGAUAUUAUCUGCCCUGUAGAGCAGACAUUGUCACAUCGUUAGCGCUAGGCGGCUCUUCGUCCAUUACUCUUACGUGGAAAUACGCUGGAUGCUUAGGUUCAGGCAGGGCUAUACUUUCGCUGCUUAGCAUCGUAACCACGCUUGUUGUGGUGGGUCUAUCACCUGCAUUCUCUUGCACACACAGCAAUGCGAUGUUGAUACACCUCAUUGUCUCUGAUGCAUGUGACUCUGAAACUAUUGAUUCGUCAACGAACUCAAGCCAUCUUUCUUCUUUCCACAACUUCCAUGCCUUGAAGGAGUUUAGACACAUAUUAGAUAAAGGUCAUCAGAUAAGCAGAGUAGUUUUACAAAUAGGAUACAGAAAAUACUUACAUAUCCAAGAAGGUUGAAGAAGUCCCCAUUUUUAUGGAAAGACGAGUUCCUUUUUCCAUGGAUGGUCUCGAGAAUCAGAACACCAAAGCUGAAUACAUCAGACUUGAUCGAGAAGAGGCCCUCUGAUGCAUACUCUGGAGCCAUAUACCCACUGUAAAAAUAUACAGAAAAAAGUAAACUUCUGUCUGGUAUUUGGUUAACUUGCAGUAGGAUGUACAUAAGGAAGAGCUUACUAUGUCCCAGCAACCCUUUUUGUGUUCCCUUCAAUAUCAUUUGAACUGAAUAUUUUUGCAAGCCCAAAAUCUGAUAUUUUAGGAUUCAUCUCACUGUCCAAAAGAAUGUUGCUUGCUUUAAGAUCUCUAUGUAUGACACGUAACCGGGAGUGUUUAUGCAAAUAUAGAAGUCCUUGCGCUAUUCCUUCGAUAAUUGCUUUUCGUUUAUUCCAGUUCAAUAAAGCUCUUUUAGUUUCAUCUGCAGAUUAGUUUACAAAUAUAUGUAUGUUAGAUAGAUGGGGAGGACUGGAUGGCUUUAGCAGACAGAGUUAACCCAUAUAUGAUAUGUAACAGGAUAUUACAUGAAGUAAUACCAAAGAUAAAGGAGUCCAAGCUUUUAUUUGGCAAAUAUUCAUAGAUCAAUAUUUUCUCCUCUCCUUGUGAGCAACAUCCCAACAGUCUAACCAGAUUUGUGUGCUGGAGCUUGGCUAUGAGUUGGACUUCAUUUUUGAACUCCGUGAAACCUUGCCCAGAAUGUGAAGCAAGUCUCUUAAUUGCUAUCUCCAAACCUUCUGGAAGCUGGCCCUAUGGAGGUUCAAACGAGAUUGAUUAGUGAUACAAUAUCAUCUUGUGAAAUAGAAGUGCUUUUACUUAUCUUCUGACCGGUAAUCCCCCAUGCUUCUGGGUAAAAUUAAAGCUACAUGUAUAAAAUCUACAUGGUCGUACAAAUUUAGCCAUCAAAGCAAACUUAGUUUCAUUUUGUUCUCUUUGUUUACAGGAAUAAUAAAUGUGUUCUUUUACCUUGUAUACUGGACCAAAGCCACCUUGCCCCAAUUUAUUUUCAUCUGAGAAGUUAUUUGUAGCAUUUGAUACUUCUGAAAAAUCAAAAAGCUUGAACUCUGGACUCCUUCCUAUUCCCCAGACCAGUUCUUCAUCUUCCUGUGAGCUUAGUUUACCUAAACUCAAAAGGCAGAGUUUAUCUAAUCCUUUCAGCUAAUGCUGAUGUAAAGUAUAUAUGAAUCUGAAUAGCCUAAGAGAUUUGUGAGUACAGUUGCAUUUCCGUAACAAACCUUUUACGCGCCUUUUGACCAGUCCAAGCCAAACGAUGAAGCAGAAAAAUGAUGCUAGUAGAAGCGCAACAGUGGUAAUGAUCAAAACCUUUAUUAUAUUCCCUAAAACAAAAGAUUUCACACAAACAUAGGUGGUUAUGUUUUGAGGAAUGUUUCAACAUAUAAAAUAUUGUCUUGCUUACUCUUGUGUUUAUGGCUGGGAGUCUCGUCUUUCUGCUUGGGAAGAUCAACUGGCCCUGGUGCCGGCUUGGGUGCUGGCAUGUUUGUUGUUGGAUCUACAGCACCCGACAAGGUGAUGUGCUGCAUGGGCUGACCCUCGUAGAACUGAUAUGUGCUAUACCUGAAAUUGCACCACACACCAGCAAUCCAUUCACCACGUUGCUGGUAGAAGAAACUCUUUGCCGCACUCCUGAUAUUGUCGAGGCAAUCCCAACAGUCAUUUGGCGGUAGGCCCAGGUUGCACUGCGCCAGAGAGUAGAGCAGCGGGAUUGUGCUGUAGACAUCCAUGCGGCCGGUGGCGUACAUCAUCGUCGAGUUGUAGGCUGCUUGUUUGGCUGUCUCUUGAAGCAGCACCUUGAUGUUGCCAUCAAUGCUGACAUCGGUGUACUUGGCGCUCACCUCGCUGGGGAUGUUGGGAUCCAUAUUGUGUUUUGUGGUGUCCGUAAAGACCAGCAGCCUGUUCAGCACAACAGUGGAGUCAUAGAUAAGGUCCUUCGCGGAGAUGUGGACGAUGCAAUCCUUGUAUAGAAUAUGGGCCUCCUUGUGGUUUCUGCACACCCGCCACACAUCCUGGAAUGCUGUGGUGAUGCAGCUGGGGCAGGCAUCGACGACGCCAUCACCGCGGCACACCACGACGCCGUAUAUGCGGUCUUGGUCAGUCCCGACGAAGCCCUUGGCGAGGUUGGUUCGUGUGGAUGAGGCACUACUGAAUAGCGCAGUAGAUAGGAGCUCAAGGUUCGCUUUAUAGGUGCUCUCGUUCAGGUGGGAGUCUCUGUAGUAGCAGACCUGCGUCAGUGGAUUGACGGCAGCGACGAAUGGCUCGAAGCCGAGAAUAAGCAGCAAGACGGUGAUCAUGGUUCUUGCUAACCAUAGGUAAUUCAGCUCUGCCCCUCCAGCAGCCUCCCUGUUAUAAGCAUCAUUUGGAAAACUCUUCUGUCUUAUGAUCUGACCGCUUACUUGUUUAGUGAUUAUCUGAUGAUAUCAGCCUGCAGGCCGUGCAAUCAAAUUUGGUGGAAUACAAUAGUGCAGCCGUCCAGGCAUCAGCCUGUGUAAUGGCUACAAGCAAUGCAGGAUAAGGGGAGAGAACAAUAACAAAUGCAGUUUCAGUGUUUCCGUCAAAGGAGAAGAGGUCUUCUUGUGACCUUGAGGGAGUUGAAGAUGAUUACGAUCGUUCGGUAAAGCUAAUGGACUCGGAAAUGUUUCUUAUGCUGAAAUGCUUCGAAAAUGCUCUUAAGCUUGUGUGAUGCAAAUAAAAACAAGCAACCAGCUGGCAAAUUCGGUUACCUCCCAGCCAAACGCGGUACAAAAUCUCAAAGUAGUUUGUGGAAAAUGCUUAUGAACUGGCAUAAAUUGUAGUACUAUAUGAGUAUAGCAUUGACUGAGCGACUGAGAUUUAGCAAGACAGAUAUGAGAAACAAGUCUGCAAAACAGUACACCCCAGGAAAACAAAUGUGUUUUUAAUAGAACAGUAGGUUUCCCUGGUGGAUGUUUUCCAUUUUAAUGCAAAUAAAAACAAAUGAUAAGAACGUUUUUUUGUUUAUUCACAUUUUGAUAUUCUUUUGAGGAAUCACAUGCGCAUUUCGGUGUACCAACACAACACAACACAAAAGCUAUAUUUCCCAAGCCUAUUUCUGCACAAGGUCUAUCUAACAUUGUGUGCAUCAUCAUCUGUUCUUGGAGCUCCAGUCCAUGAUGGCCGACCGGAGCGAGUGGUUGGGGAUGAGGCUCUUGCUCGGCAGCCGGAGGUUGGUCAUCGGCGACUUGUCCUUCAUGCUCACCCAUGUCUCGAUUGCCUUCCGGUCGUAGGUGUACCCGUCGGCGGCGACGCAUGGGUCCUCCAUGAUUUCCUGAAGAAUGGGACAGAGGAAGUGGCCCGGGGCCGCUGACGAUGAUGCUGUCCGGACGAGAAGGGCCUUCGUCUCCCUGGCGGCUCUGGCAGCGACGUCCUUGAUCCGCUCCAGCGCUGGGAGGAUGUGCUCGCGCAGCCCGGGCCGGUCCCUGCGCCGCAUCUCCGCGCACCGCACAGCCAGCAAGGCGAGCUCUCGCGCCUCCUCCGGCGGCCACUCCCCGGCAGUCGCGUCCAGCAUCUCCGCGAAGGAGUCGCCGCCGUCUUCCUCCAGCGCGGUCUCCACGGCGUGGGCGAGCCCGAGCGGUGACGUCCGCCCCGUGAGCAGCUGCAGCACCACCACGCCGAGAGCGUACACGUCCGACUUGGCCGACACGGCGCCCGUCCGCUGGUACUCCGGGUCGAUGUAGCAGAACGUGCCCACGGGCGUCGUGUUCCUCACCAUCGUGGACUGCUGCUGGCCUCCUCCACCUCCGGCGCCCGAGUGGUGGAGCAGCGCCGUCGAGAGGCCGACGUCGCCGACCUUGCUGGAGAGGUUCCGGUCGAGCAGGAUGUUGGCCGGCUUGAGGUCGCGGUGGAUGAUGGGGUCCGGCCUAGCACUGUGGAGGAACGCGACGGCAGUGGCCACCUCCCAGGCGACCCGGACGCGGUCGUACCAGGCGAGUGGUGGCGUGCCAUUCCGGCGGUGGUUGAGAGCAUCGUCCAGGCUGCCGUUCUCCAUGUACUCGUACACCACGCAGCCGCGCUCCGGGCACGCGCCCAGCAGCAGCAGCAGGUGAGGGUGCCGGAUCUUGCCCAGGACCUCCAGCUGCAUGUGGUAAGAUGAAAUUAGGAGUUGCAAAACAAAAGUUCAGAAUACAGAAUUACAGAUACAUGUUGCAGUGACAGUCCAUUUCUAGCAGCUGAAUUGGAAUUCUAUUUGAUUUGAAUUAAAAAAUCUUUUGUUUGCCAAAUUCAUUUGACGAAAUCUUUAAUUGUUCUGGCGACUGUCCAUUUGUAAAUACUGAAUUGAGUGCCGUUUGAUUUUUCAAAACAAAAAUAGUCAUAGGUGUCUGAUAUUAGCCAAUACUGUUUGAAUUUUUAUUUACACUUUCUGUUUGGAGUUAAUUUUAUUCAGCGGUCUUAAGAUGCUCUGCUUACCAUCUAAGAUGUAAGAUAAAUAUUUGAUCUCACCGUCCAAGGUUAAGGAUGAAUAUUUUAGUCAAGAUUUGAAGUCAAAAUGAAAAUAAGAACCAUAGCUUUGAUGUGUAGUCUAGCCAAAUAGAAACCUAAAUAGCAUUAAUUAAAAUUAUAUUUUUAUUUAUUUACCAUUGUGCUUUAAUGGCAAUAUGAUAUACUUUCUCAUUUCAACAGCCUGCAAAGUUCAUAUUUUUAGCCCUAUAUAGUCAUUUAUAGGCUCUCUCCUAUUAAUAUAUAGUAGGCAUGAGUCAUUGGAUCAUCCAAACUUAAUGGCUAAUAUUAACUCAGUAGUGUCUUAAAAUUUCUCAAUUUUGUAUGCCGAAAAUAACCUCUGGGUGUAAUGAGCAGAUAGUGAAGAACAUAUUUGUGUUUCCAAGUAGAUACGGUACCUCCUGCUGUAACUGCUGAGUUCCAAAACCUUCCAGGGAGUUCAAAACUUUCACUGCUGCAACAGUAUGCUGAAACUUAGCCUUGUAGACUGUUCCAUAUGUCCCCUUACCAAUCACAAGAUCACUUGAAAACGACGAAGUCGCUGCUUGGAUAUGCUCCCAUGAGUACCUAUUGUACUCGGUUAAACAUCGUCCGGCAUUUUUCAGUCCUGUGUUGAUCUCUCCAGCAUUUUGGUGAUCACCAUCACCCUCUGUUGCUUUCUGCUCAGAAGAGCUUUGUAUGGCUUGACCUUCUCUUUCGGCCACCUCCUCUUCUUCUCUCUCCAUUCGCCUUAGCAAUCUCCUCACCAUUUCUUCUGUCAGGUCAAUUUCUCGAAGCUUGAUUUCAUGCUCGACGCGCUGGAUGCCCAAGUUGUUGUGUAACUAACAGCAAGGUUUCAACAAGAAACGGUUAAAAACCUUGCAGAUUAUUACACACUUUAUAGAUUAGUUGGAAGUAAACCCUUACUUUUUGAGCGGAGUCGACCGGUUCAGUAUGAGCACACUCGUGAAGCAUCUGAAGAUGUCGCAGUUUGACCUUCAUACUCUCAAUUUGAAGCUUCAGAUCAUCCUGCUUAGCAAAGAAAGUUCAUAAAUUGCAGAUUCACUUGGACACACAUGUUACUUUGGCUGUGUGCGUCAUAUGACGAGUUCUUCCAUUAUCUUUUGUUUUUUCUGACACAAAGGGGAUACUGUUUUAUUUAAAGAAGAGUAAAUUCCUACCUGGUCAUGAGAAUGCUUCAGGUUUGUUGCAAUUUCUGAAACUGCUGCCUGCAGGUCGGGGAUGUCUGGGGAGCUAUCUCUUCGGAAGCUCUUGUAAACUGAAUCCCCACUGCUGCUGCUACUGAGCUGCGCUCCCGAUGCGAUCGAGUGUGAAUUUGUCAUCAGGGUUGUGUCAGCAUGGUAGGAGAUCUCGCUGCCUCCACUGCCUGAAGGGCUAGCUCUCCUGUUUAUGUUUGCGAGUGCGUGAUCAUGCUGCGAUGACAGAGAAGACUGGCGGAACAAUACAGCUGCUGCUCCAUUUCUGUCAGCACACUCUGCAGUAGACAGAAUAGUUAGUAACACUAAUACAUUUAUGCUCCUGUUUUUCAAGGCAUGUUCCUGAAAGUUUGGUGGUUCUACUGAGGUUAAGCUGCUGAUCCAAAUUCAAUUGAUUAACUUUUUCGAAGAAACAACUUUUGUUGUAUUCAGUUCAUAGGUGUUCUGAAAAGUAAAGUUGACAGGUGCAACCAACAAAGUUUCAGAAACCAAAACCAAAUGCAGACUUGAGUUUACCUGAGGGUGCACUGGAAAGGCUUCUGGAGCUAGGAGAAGAAACGGUUGAAGAAGAUAUGGUCUUGGGUGUUUCGCAGGGAUCAGAUGUAGCUGAGCGCACAAAUGACAGUUUGCCCUUUGAGACGACGUAUGCCGUACAGAAGCUUGGAAUGCAUUCGGAUAUUUUGGUUGCAGUCUUGCUUCCUUUGAGCUUCCUGCAAAGAGUCGACAAUGCUAGCCACAUCAUUAAGAUUGCACUAGGCAUUUCUUAUCCUAUGCUGUAAUAGGCUUUUUUUUGGUAAAGAAUUGUUAUCUUAAAUUCUCUGCAAGUUUCCAUAUUGAACUUGCAAUCAAGUAGGAGUAGUUGCAGUGCAACCUUCAGUGUUAGGCUGGUAGCUGGGGAAUGGAAUGAGAAGACAAUGAUCAUCCUACCAAAUGCUUGAGCUUUUCUGACUGUCUUGUUCAUUGUACACCAGCAAAUCAGCCUAAACGUUUUUUAUGUAGUAGGUUAAAUAAAAUUUCAGGUUGAUGCUGAAACGUCAGCAAUCGGAAUGUACCUUCGGAAUAUGCUUCUGGACGAAGAGCCCAAGACCAGCUUGCCAAUGUUGAAUUUGUCGAUUUCCUCGCUUAUAGCAGCCGGCACAUCAUCAGAUUCAAGUAAAACAGCUUCGGCUUCCACCUGUUCAUCAAUCAUAUUACUAUCAGUGUUAGAAUUCGUGAGUUAUAUUAAUCUCAACUGUCAUGCCAAGUUAUAUAAUUGUUGCGCAAGCUGGUUAACCUGUCUCUGAGCACACAUCUUCUUGUAAGGGAGCAACAUGUUCCUCGCUUGCCAUUCCAGCUCUUCCCUGUACGCCGAUGCCACAUCGUCGCGCACUUGCGAGACCGGGAUGUAAUUGCCCACUGUCAUCAGAGGAUGAAGAAUAGCAGGUCAGAUCAGUGUUCUGAAUAAUUGGCAACGACUAAAGAACAGCAGGUAUACCCUUAAAUCACAAAUUGCCCACACUUGGUACAAGAAAAGCUCAUAUUCAUCAGCCUAACGAUAAUGCAGUACGCCCAAGGACAAAACUCUGCACUCUGCAGUUGGUGCUCUGGUAGUAGGUAUGACCUUGUGACACUGUAACCAUAAAAUUUGUUCGUAGAUGCUGCUACUGUCAAGAUCAAUUAUUGAGAAAUAUGAAGCUAGCAAAACCAAAACCAAAACCAAAACUAACCCAUCCCAUUGGCAUAGAAAUGGCAGUCUGAACUUAUAUUUUUUAAACUAGCAGUCAUAGUAGCAAAAGGUUCGUGGUCUGUUAAAACUGAUUUUUUUUUCUUGUUCAGACAUCAAGAACAGUAAAUUCAGACAGUAGGCAGAGAUGAGAGAGAAGACAGACUUGGAGUGGGCACCAUGGUGAUGGGCGGGCGGACAUGGAGGAUCCGGAAGAGGACCCUCCCGCCGGGCACGAACUUGUCGAGGGCCCACUUGAGGGCGUGCCUGCUGCUCCUGCUCCCGCUCACCGCGAUGGCCACCGUGCUCACGCCGGCCGCCUCCAUCUCCGGCGCCGUCUCGCCGGAGUCCUCCUCCUGGAUCUCCAUCGACAUCCGCCCUCCCCUCUGUAUCUGUUUCUUCCCCCCUCCUAAUGAAUCAAUCAAUCACUGCCCUGCGCAGCCCCAAUAACAAUUAUCAGAAACAUUCAGCUCCUCUGGUUCCUGAGGAAUCUCAGAGACACGAGGAAAAUCACAUGACAAGGACAUGAACUGCAGCGGCGACAAGACAAGAAAGGAGUCAAGAACUUGGCGCUGGACUGAACUUGGUGUUCCGGGGGGAGAGGCGGGAGGGAGAUUCGCUGAUGGAUCGACCGCGCGUGCGUACCUUGGAGAAGCCAUGGAUGGGAGGGUGAGGUUGAUGAUCCGAGGAACCGGGCGAGGAGGAGGGAGGAGGAGGAGUCAGCAGGAGACGCGGACGUGGAGUGAGGACUGAGCUCAGCUGAGAGGGGAGCCGCGAUGGACGGAAGGGGCGGGCAGAGGCGUCUCCGGUUAAGUUUGUUGGAACGAAGUAAAUUAUUGCAACGGGCAAGGUUGGGAGGGUGUGUGUACACGUAGUACGAGAUAAAUGAAUAGCUGAUAUUGCUAUGCUUACCCGCAGAUUCACACACGCCUCUGUAAUAACCACUCAACCAAUGCUAACUCUUUUCCCUCAAAAAAAAAAAAAACAAUGCUAGCUCUUGGUUUCCCUCCAUGGAAUGCAUCUCAGAUUCAUCAGUUAAACGCCAAAUGCAAAAUAUCAAAUGAUAACGAUGCAGAACUAUUCGCUAACCGCCCAAUUUUUAGAAGACUAGUAUUUUUUAGAGAAUCAAAUACUCCCUCUGAUCCAUACUAAUUUGUACAAAAUCGUAACAAUUAAUAUGGAUCAGAGGGAGUACAUGUGAACAACAACACACAUGUGAAACAGGACAAUCCCGUCUGGUUCAUCUUUUUUUUUUCUUUUACACAUUUUGCGACUUGUCUAUUUGCUUUCGGCUUACUACGCAAAAAAGAAGAAAAGGUUUGUAAUAUCGCCGUGCCUUGCAGAAGUGUCAUCAUUGUGCAAAGUGUGUUGUUGUUUUGUUUUGUUGCAUUCGACGCGUUAGUAAGAUUGACAUGGUUUAAUUAGCCUCAUUUAUAUUUUUGGAAAAAGUACUUCAUUUUGCCUUGGAAUAAAUUUUAUAAAACAUGCCGUAGUGCAGUUCGAACGCGCUACAUGAUUUUUCAUGAUUUUCAGAAAACCGUAAAUUAGACUUUCAUGAUUUUUCUUGGGACAUGCGCAAACAUACCUCAUCAAACGCGCAGAUGCAUGAUGUGCAUCCACUACAUCGAACCUUGUUCCUUCCUGUGAAAGCACUCUCCCCCUCCCCCUCGCCCCUAAGGGCGCGUUUGGUUCCCUGAUUCCCCUCGGGAUCCCGGCCUUAUCCCUAGGGGGAGAAAGCACCGGCCAAUCGGACCUCGGAUUAUUCGGUAGUCAGUUUGGAAGUGCAUCGGACGGGGAUAUCUUGGCCCAAUCCAUGACAUAUCCACGGGGGGAGAAUCCAGGGCUACGGACAUCGGGGACGAAACCCCAUCUCUCUCAUGCGAACACAAACUUCCUUCAUCUCGCGGAUCCCCUCGCCUCCUCCAAUGCCUUCGUACCGUGAGCAUUGAUGUCCUGCAAGCGAGGAGCUUCAUACUCACGAUCUCCUUCCUCCACGUAAUCUAUCUGAUUUGAUUCCCCAUGACGGCCAAAUGGCACCAGAGAUAUCUCCCUAUUGUGAGAGGGGAUCCCAUGAGCACAGAAAAAAUCUCUCCUGGGGGUUUGCUACCCUGGGUUUUCUCUCAUCAGCAACCAAAUGAGCCCUAAAUGUUAAAAUAAUUCUACAUGCACGUCAAUCCGCCGAUAACAAAUAAUCGCACAAGAAGAUUGAGGACAAGCAGUCACAUGAGCACGACACUAAAAUUUAUUAAUGAGGUGCACCAACAUGACUAUAUCCUCGAAGCAUGAUUACGGUCGCUCAUCCCCAUUUACUAAAUCAAUGUAGUACAAUUGCUGACAAGCCCGCCAAGGCCAUCACCAACAUGGCUCAUCCCCGGAGCAUGAUUACGGUCGCUCGUCCCCAUUUACUAAAUCGACGUGGUACAAUUGCCGACAAGCCCCCCAAGGCCAUCACCAACAUGGCUACAUCCCCGGAGCAUGAUUAUGGUCGCUGGUCCACAUUUACUAAAUCGACAUGGUAUAAUUGACAACAAGCCCGCCAAGGCCAUCAGAUAGCACUCCGACUACCGCCCCACGAACGGUCUGGCCAUCCCUGCCAUGGGUGUCCGGACCGUCCCUCUUGUGAUAUUUGUCCAAGGUUUAAAUUUCGUCGAAAUUUGCCAAAAUUUCGACAAUUUUGAGGGUGGGCGAAACUUUUGCCUUUUGUUCAAAAAAAAAUUCACUUGGUUUGAAUUAGCAUGUAUCUGAAAUGAUUUAACUUGGGUAGCCGAGAUUUAUUUAUUUUUGCAAAAGUCCUAGCCGAGAUUUGAACUGCGGCCAGCUGAUUGCUAACCAACGGACUAACUAUCAGGUUAAAUAUGCUGUUUGGUUUCACUAUGUGCCACGGUUUAUUUUAUUUAGAUGUUUGAAUGUAAAAUUGUUCUAAUUCAAAGAUUUUUUUUGGUGAUUUGCCCAAAACAUUUUUCGGAAUCUCAGAAAUUUCGUCCAUUUCAAGGGUGAGCGAAAAAUUUGCCACUUUGAAAUCGUAAACCUUGUCUUUGUCUAGCCUACCAGCUUAUGUCUAAUCUAUUUGGCUACCUCGUGGUGUCUUUAUAUAAUAUAUGUGGUCUACUAAAACACCUAACCUUUUGCUAAUUACAAGUUCAACUGCAGCACAACUCAUACACAUAAUAUUUGACACAUAUUUUACUGUAUACAUAUACACAGAUACAUUCUCGUGUACGAUUCCCGGGUGAGCGUUGGCACUGCUCAACAUGAGGCAGACAACCUGCUCCGGUAGAACCAAUGAUCCGUCUUGAUCUUGACCAGAGGGAGUGGACGCCGUGGGCUCCGAGAAAAACACCACAAGCAUUAAAUAAAUCGUGUAUAUUCAAGUCGCAACUUGCGAGGAAGGACGACGGCGAAGACGACAGCGACGGACGGUGACCACGGCGGCGGCGACGACUCACUGAUCAUGAGCUGCAUCUUCCAUAGAAUAUGCUGCUGCUACAGGUCCACAGGUUGUCAAGUGGAGAAGACUCUUGUCGCUGUAGCAGCUGCACGGGCACGGCAGCAACAGCCUGGGUCCCAGCUACGUGCAAUUUUUUUUGUGUGUGUGUGGUCGGGUCCUGCGUUUUUUCAGACACCAUUCCAGGCUAGAUGUUUUUUCUUUUUGAAGCAAUCCAGGGUAGAUUUUUUUUUUUUUUUGGCCUGCGUGAAAGCUAUGCGGGUCGACCACGGGCACACGAUGUAGGCCUGAGCCGACGUUGUUUUGGGUGAGCGCGACCGGGCCAUGGCUAAGACUGGGCCGGUGCAUUCCCCGUUUUCGUUUUGAACCUUCAUGCUGGCCCGCUUUUGUUUAGAAUUUUAUAUUUUCUACUUUUAUUUAACUUUUAAAAUUAAUGAUAAUUUUUAAGUUUAUUAUUUUUGUAAAAACAUCAUGAGUAUUUUAUACUUGUGAUUUUUUUCUAAAAUGUAAAAUUAUUUUUAAAAUCCGUGAACAUUUUUAAGAUUUGCGACUAUUUUUUAAAUUUAUGGAUAUUUUUAAAAUCAUGAUUUUCUUUGAAUUUGGAGAAUCUUCUUUUGAAGUCAUGAACAUUUUCUAAAAUCAAUGAACUUUCUUGUAAUAGCACUAGUUUCAGAUGAUCCACAACUCUCAAAGUAUGACAUCACUAAUGUAAAAAUAUACUAAGCCAGCAAAAUUCGAGCUGACGAACGAUACUCUACAGUUUCUUCACGUUAGUACAGAGAAAUACAACAUUUUUCACUCAGAAUAAAACAAAGACGAAGAACCAAAAAAUAGGAUGAAAAUACAACAUUUUUCACUCAGACUAAAACAAAGACGAACAAGCAAAAAAAAGGAUGAAAACCAAUGCACUAGCUAAUCCCUGACUACACGCACACGUCCACUACUUGCGCAUCGUCCACUCAACGGCCAGCAUGCACAUGCACAUGACUAGCUAACAAACUCCAUGCGUGACUACAUCAACUAACUCAAGAAAAACCAAGAAAUAAUCUAAACCUAGCACUAAUAACAAGAUUAGUUUUAACAUUCACCACGAAGCAACUCCCGAUGGAACCGUGCCUCCGCAAGCUUGGCAGCAGCAAUAUAUCGGGCACGGCUCGUUUCUUUUCGAGCCACGCCAAGACGCCCUUUCAUGUCAGGCACCUGCUCUCCAGCUGCCUCAGGACAAAUUAACACAUUCAAUAGGCGGGUAGAAGCUUGCCAAAUUCUCCGCGCGACACCACCCGGCGCGGAGGAGAGGGCCUGGAUUGUUGCGCCCGGGGUCGUUCUCAUGGCGGCGCCUCCACUUGGAUGUCCUGGAGGACUGGAGCUGCCUCCACUGCGCUUCCUGGCGACCGCCACCCUCCUCCAAGCGUGGCCCUGGCAAGACCUCUGCGUGACCAGGGGUGCCGGAUGGCACCCGCAGGGUUUGGGUACGGGUCGAGCCACCUCAUACCCAUGGGUAUUUUUUUGACCCAUACCCUUGUCCUAAUAGGGUUUUUACCCGCAGGAUACGCGGAUAAUGGGUAUCCAUUGCCAUCCCCGGAUGCCCGGAUGACGUUGAGCUUAAGGAAAGGCCGAGGCCGGACACCACCGGCCAUUCUCCAGCAUGUCAUGAGGGCACGGUCCCCAAGCAGGGGCUUGAGGCCAUGGCGAGGAAGUGGCAAGCGACGGGUAGAGGUGGCUGACACUGCCAAAGUAGCUACUGGCGAGCGGAAGUGGACGGAGUGACGCACGGCGGGUGCACACGCGCGAGAGGGAAUUUUUUAGAGUGUAGAUUCACUCAUUUUGCUCCGUAUGUAGUCAAUAUUAGAUUCUCUAAAAAGAGAUUAGCAAGAGAUUAGCAGUCGUCAAUCAAUUUCACAAAAAAUCAAUCAUGGGAGUCGAACAAACUCCCGCUAGAUAUAUCAAAUCCUAACCAGUUGAGCUGACAACUGCAGAUGACUAAAAUGCAGCGUUGGAGUUCUAACUACAGCGAUAGAUCCUUCUCUUUUAAAAGAAAUAAAUAUUUCUUGGAAAAACAUGAGAGCGAAAUUUCUUAAUAAAUGAGAACAAUGUUUGAAAAUCAUGAAAAAAAAUCGAAAUUAAAUAAAAAAUUUAAACAUGAAUUUUGUUUUUUGAAGAAGUGAACCAAACAUGACAACAUGAACAUUUUCUGAAAUGUGAAUAUUUCGUGAAUUUUGUUUUUUUAAGUGAACAAAUUUUUUUUAAAUAUGAAUAUUUAUUGAAAAUGCAAAACAAAUUUCGUAUUGAAAACAAUUUCUUUGAAUUGUGAACAAAUGUUUGAAAGCUUAGUCUUUUUGAAAACGUGAAUAAUAUUUUUCAGAAAUCUGAACAUUUGUGAACAAAUUUUGAACUCGGAACAGAUUUUGAAUUGUGUCUUCAUUUUAAGGUGAACAAAUUUUGAAAUAUAUGAACAAAAUUUCAUGAAAAUGUGAUUAGUUUUGAAAUAAUUUUUAAAAAUCAUGAUUUUUUUACUGUAAUUUGGAAUUUUUUUUGAAAUUUUUAACAUUUUUAUAUUUUUUGAACAUAUUCCAAAAAUUUGAAUUUUGAAAAAAGGGAACGAAAAAAAUAAAGAAAUAAGCCAAAAAACGAACAAGAAAAAUAAUAAAUAAAUAAAAUAUGAAAUCAUUCCAGGAAAAAUAGUAACAACAAAACAAGAAAAAUAAAAAUCUAUGAACCUUCUAGAAGGUUCCAAAACAGGCUUCUCCUCCAAGUGGACCGGCCCGUGUGCAUCGGUCACUAUCUUUGCUUCAGCAAAGUCAUGACAAUUUGCCGGGAGUAACUAACGAAGGAGUAAUCCUUCGGGAGCCCCACAACUAUCACUUGGGGCGGGCUUUGAGCGCGCCAUUGGGCGCGCUCUCAGCCGCCGCUACAUGUCACGCUCAGGGCGCUCAUUUCGAUUUUGGUUUUUUUCUAUUUCUACACGCGUUUUUGGCUUUUUAGAUGAUUUUUCAGUUUUUUUUUGGCUUUUUAGUUUUCCACCGGUCUUUCUUAGCUUGGAAAAAAAUGUGAAAAAAUGUGUUUUUUUUUCCUUCCGCGAGAGGCACGAUUUUACUUCCCCGAAAGCCUUGGAUUUGCUUCCACGGGAGGCCGUGCCUCUUGGAAACGAAAAAAAUAUAUUUUUUCCUUUCGCGAGAGGCAUGUUUUGCUUCUGCGAGACGCACGGUCGUGCACCAUGAAAAUGGUAAUAAAAUGUGUUUUCUGUUUUUCCUUCGGCGAGAGACACGUUUUGUUUCCGCGGGACGAAGUGCGUCAUGAAAAUGGUAAUAAAAUGUGUUUUCUUUUUUUCCUUCGGCGAGAGACACGUUUUGUUUCCGCGGGACGCACGGUCAUGCCUCUCGAAAAUGGUAAAAAAAUGUGUUCUCGUUUUUUCCUUCGGCAAGAGGCAUGGUUUUGUUUCCGCGAGAGACAUGACUAGUCCUGGCCAUCUCAGGCCCGGCCCUGUCGGCCCACCCAGGCCCGGCCCUAAAAUCCAGGGCCUAGGCCCGAUGGGCUUGCCCGUGGGCCGGGCUUGGGCCUGAGUUUUGAGCCCAUCAGCAGGGCCUGGACGGGCUUGGGCUUGGCAUAUUGGCAUUUUAAGGAAGAGGCCCGGCCCACGGCCCUAAGCCCUAAGGGCUUUUCAGGGCUUUUUACCAGAUGGGCCGGGCUUGGGCUUGAAAAGUAGGCCCGAUGAAAGGGCCUGGGAGGGCCUGGGCCUCAGUUUUCUGUCGUGGGCUUUUUUAGGCCCGGUCCAAGCCCGGCCCGGCCCGGCCCAUGGCCAGAUAUAGACAUGACCGUGCAUAUGGGAAACAAAAAAAUGUUUUUUUCCUUCCCCGAGAGGCACUGUUUUGCUUUCCCGAGAGGCACGGAUUUGCUUCCGCGAGAGGCACGGCCGUGCCCUCACAAACGGAAAAAAACGUGGUUUUUUCCUUGCGCAAGAGGCAGUCAUGGCUCUUUCGGAAAGGAAAAAAAACAUGCUCCACGUUCGGUUUUUUCGUCCGGUAUUUUUAUAUAAAAAAGUUCGUCAAAACCUAUCAUAAUGGUAUUUAAUUUUGAAGUUCUCGACGCUAGGAAUCCAAGGUAAAAACGGUUCGAGAUUUGGACGCACGGUUUAAUUUGCCACAAACAUCGCAAAUACAGUGUGCCAUCUGUCGCAACCUAAGAAAUAAAAAUGAUCUUUGCACAGAGUGCUCUUUAAUUAAUAAUUUCGCUGUUUGCCACACACGGGUGGCAAAUAGGAAUCGCCGCUGAGUCGAACAGAAGAAAAAGACGUUGACCUGGCCCAGAAGUAGCAAUGUGGGCCGCGUAAGUGGGCUUCAAGGUUGGAAGUAGGCUGUUCGGGUGGGGAAUCGAGCUCAUAAGAGCCCGACCAACUGGGCUAUAUCUCCACACGCUAAAAGAUAUAAGGUCCGUAUUCUAAUAGUCCCACGUUGAUUUUCUGACACCAAAUUACACCUAUUUACAUAUGGGAAAUGUUUGUAUACGGACGACCGGCCGAGCGUUCGGCCGGUCGCAUCGCUCGCUCGCUGCACAUCCUACGCGAGAGUUCCACAGCGGUGGGGUCACACACCGCUUUUCUCUCCUGAUCCUUAUCUUUUCACAGGCAGCGUUGCUCUCAUCCACUCGUCUCCGUUUCUUCCUCUAUCUCCUUUUCUCCUCCACCUCCCACACCGCACCAUAGCCAAGGUUUGCUGUUGCUUUUUCUGCUGCGGGCCAAGGCUACCCAUGAGCUGCAACCGGCGGAAGGGAGGGGCGGCGGAGCUAGCUACAGGAUGAAGCAGGCGAGCGGUGCUGCGAAGACAUCUCCGGCAUGUGUGGCGAGGCCAUGGGGGCGCUGCUAUGACCCUUUCUAGCCAUGAGAGCUACUCGCUUGGUGCUACAACCAGUUUGCGUGAUGUUACAAACGGCGUAGCACCCUGGUACAACUGGUGUCGCCGCUGGUAGAGUUAUCCGAGGCCAGCCACAAUGACCUUCCAUGGCGAAAGCUGCAACCACCUCUCCACAGAGCUGGAACCUGCGUCGCUCAAAGUUGCAGCCACUCCCGAGGAAAGCUGUAACCAUCGCCUGAUUUUGCAUUUUUGCUAUCACCGUUUAUUUUUUUGCUGGAACCAGCACAAGUUUUUGCUACCACCGAUUUUUGGGUUUGCUUCAACCAGCCCCCCAAUUUUGUAAUUUUUGCUACCACCGGUGUUUUAGUUUGCUGGAGCGAGCUUCAUUUUUUCUACCACCGUCAUUUUUGAUUUGCUGGAACAACGUCCAAUUUGCAUGAUUUUGCUACCACCGUGUUUUUGAUUUGCUGGAGCCAGUGCCAUUUUUUGCUACAACCGUCUUUUUGGAUGCGAACCACUACAUCGUCGCCAUUGAAUCUGCAGGGAGGCAAGGGGGAUGGCAGCACGGGCUAGGGGUGAGCACGGCGGGGACGGCGAGCUUCGAGGCCGGUCGUCUUGCUCGGGGUAGGGAGCGCUCUGGGUAAUAGGCGCGGGGUCGCUCGGGGUAAUCAGCGCCGGCCUGGGGCCCGCAGUAUUGCUCACGAAGAAGAGGAAGGCGUGGGACGGGGAAGAAGAGGAUGAGGAAGCCAGAUCGAACGGCUGGACUACGCUGCAUCGGGCGGCUGGGGCGCGACCGGCCCAACUGUUGGGCCGGCGCGCCGGCGCCUAGUAGUCGCCUUUAUAUAUACAUGAUUUGCGACGAUAAACAAGCCAAGGCAAAAAUAAAUAAAGGGAGAGCUGGGCUUAAAAGAAACAAGGAAAUAAACUCCGCCUAUGGACGCGAGUAAAAGAUUUCGCCAGAAACUACCGGAGGGAAUGAUCACUUGCUACACUAAAUCAGAUUAACACGUGCAGUUUUCAUAAAAAGUGUUCACGUGUUUUCCUUUUUUGUGCCUUUAAAAAAUAUUAUGUAAUAUUUAAAAAGCGAUCAUGCAUUUAGAAUUGUUUUGUACUUUUAAGAAAAAUGUUCACAUAUUAAAAUAUUGUUUAUAUCAUCAUUUAAAAAGUCUUUGUGUUUUAAAAGAAGGUUGAUUCAUUUCGAAAAACACUAUGUACAAUUUGAAAGUGAGUGGGUGUACAAGGGACGGUGUAUGGGGUAAACGUAGGUUGAGGUCGGAAAAGGCAGCGUCACAACUAUCUCAACGAGAUUAGUUUUAAAUUAUUAGGUGUUGACUUGCGAUGGCGUGGUUCAAUGUCAGGUUUGUCCCAUGAUCACAUUGAAUGCACUGCAAUCAGGUGGACCCGAUGACCAUGGUCGAGGAAGGCAGGAAGGAGGACAAGCGACAACAUGCUCAAACAGAUAACAUGGAACCAUUGAGGAGUCUUUGGUCGUGCUUAUUAUGCUAGGAACUUGUGAAAAAAAUUCCUUCUGUUGCAACGCACAGACAUGUUUGCUAAUGAAACUAAAGGCACGUCACCAAAUAAUUGUACAAAUAUAUUUCUUUAUAGUUUUCCAAUAUAUGUAGUACGUACAUGAGGAAAAUAUAUUCCAUUAGUAAGCAAAGCCAAGAAAGGUAGUGGCUGUCUUGUUCUUGAUCAAGUGCCCACACCCAAAUCCCAAAUCGCAUGGAUCUGGAUUCGAUUGGACUGGGGAGAGAGGAGCUAGCUCUUCUCUUCUGACGGCGAUGUCAGUAGCGGGACCUGGACUUGGAGUUGCAGGUGAAGUCGAGCGCGGUGCCGUUGGGCCAGAAGAAGCGGAUCUGGCAUGCCAGCCGCGUCCAGUACUUGACGGCCACCACCCCGCCCACCUUCCACCGCGUCCGCGCCUGCCCGCUCACCCGGAACGGCACCACGCCGCGGUUCAGCGCGCCCUCCAUGGCGGCGCGCCCGGCGCCGUCGAGCGGCACGGCCGCCGACGACGCCACGUAGCCCAGCGGCCGCUCGCCCUUGGGCGGCACCACGAAGGGGUCGGCGCGGAGGAUCGCGAUCACCAUGUCGUGGAAGCUCAGCCGCAGCUCCAGCUCCGAGAAGCCCACGGCGGCGUGGGCGUUCACGUUCGCGGCCCGCACGUCCAGCUCCAGCUCCGCGUUGUCCAGCACCCCCUGCUGGUCGUACACCAGGUUCCCCAGCCGCGCCGUCUGCACCGCCAGGUACGGCGCCCUCGGCUGCAGCACCAGCACCACCAGGAGCACCGACACGGCCGCCAGCAGGACUAGCACGGCCAGCACCGUGAACACCACCGCCAUCGCCCACCGCAGCACGCCCGACCGGUACGCCCUGCUGCUGUGCGGGUGCGGGGGCCGCCAGUGGUGCUGCCGCUGCCGGUGGUGGUAGUGCGGGUGGCCGCCAUUGGGUCCGCCAUUAUGCUCGCCGUCGCCGUUGCGGCCUGCGCCCGUGGCGUUGGACAUCGGGAUCGGGAGACGCCGCUGCAAAGAAACAGCAGCAUCAGGUGAGGCGAGGCGAGGCGACUGCGACGGCCUUAUUUGUCUGUGCGUCGGCCGGCGGCAACGUUGCCCCACCAAGGAGGACUUGCUCUCUUCUCUUGUUGGUGGAGGUGGAGGUGGAGCACCACGCCGGGCAAAGGUUUGGUAUCCCCCUGUCCCUCCCCGUGCAACCUCCCUCAUACGCAGCAGUAAGAGCAUCUCCGGCCGUUGGCCCCACAGGGACGCCUAAAAUCGCCGCCUGAGAUGAGCCGGCGCAAAAAAUGGCCCUGGGACGAGUUGGUCCCCAGCCGCCCGGCCAGGACCGCCCCAGGCGCGUUUAAAAAAGGCAAAAAUAUAGCAAAGUUCGGCGAAGUUCGGCAUAUAUUACAUAAUAGUCGCGGAUUUUUAUUACAUAAUAUAUCUAAUUAAAAAAGAAACUGGCUAAACACCGGAGUAGUCGCCGUCGUCGCCGCCAUCCUCGCCGCCGUCGUCGUCGUCGGGCUUCUCCUCCUUGACGCGGCCGUCCUGGUGGACCCCUGACCGGCGUCGCCAACGCAAACUGAUGGCGGCGGCGCGUCGUCGUCAUCGCUAUCCUCGAUGACGACGACUCCUCCUUCGUCGCAGCCCCGGCGGCGCUGCGCGAAUCACCGCAGGGCGGCGCACUGGCGCUCCCUCGCCAUCUUCAGGGAGUCCGCGCGCGCCCAUUCCAGGGUCGCGUCAUCGUCGAGCUCGACGUCGCCGCCGUGCUCCGUCUUCACCGCGGGGAGGCCCGGCUCCGUCUUCACCGGUGCCAGCCCCGGCUCCGUCUUGGGCUUCACGAAGCGCGGAGGAGCCGACGAGGAGGCGCGCCGGCCGCCCUUGUUGAUGACGAUGCCGGCGCUGCGAGUGCGCCGGCCGAGCGGCGUCUCCGCCGCGGGCUCGGUCUUGACGCCGAGCAGCGCCGGAGUGCCGGAGGAGUGCGAGGAAGAGCGCGAGGAGGAGGAAGAAGAGGAGGCGCCGAACCUCCCGGGCAACCAUUGCCCGUCGCGUCGGCAGUGAGCCGUGGCCGUGGCUGCCGCCCUCACCGGGGGGUAUGCCAACGGCGGGUCGUUGCCGCCCUCGAGAUACGUCAAAACGCCCUCGAGGGUGCGGCCGGGGACACCCCACCACAGGUGGCGUCCCUCGCUGUUCUUCGCGCCGUUGGUGGACGCCAUCCUCUGCUGUUGCCGGCGCUGAAAGUAUGCCGUCCACGCCGCUUGGUUGUCGGCGGCGUACUCGGGGAGGGCGAGUUGGGCGUCGGUGAGGGAGGCGCGCACGACCUCAACCUCGUCGGCGAAGUAGGACGGUUUCGCCACGGCGUCGGGCAAUGGGGGAAUGGGCACUCCCCCGUUGCUGAGUCUCCACCCCGUCGGCCCGGCGCGCAUGUCCGGCGGCGCCGGGAUGUUCGCCUGGAACAGGAGCCAAGACUCCUGUUCGCGGAGCGAGCGGCGGCCGAAGCCGUUGGCCGCCGCCUCAUCUUCGGGGAAUCGCUCGGCCAUCGGGAGAGGGAGGGAGGGAGAGGGAGGGCUCGACGGCGGCGCUCGGGAGAGGGGGGCUCGACGGCGGCGCUCGGGAGAGGUAGAGCUCGGCGGCUAGGGCUAGGGCUGGUGUGGCCAGAGGUGAGGGAGGCCACCGGCUUAUAUAGCCGCGCCGCGCCCGUGUGUACGCGUGCGAGGGAGGGGAGUCGUCGGCGCGCCGCCCGUGAGGAAUCAAUGGUAAGGCUGACCGGCGGCAGCCUUGCCAUUGAUUUCCCGCGGGAAACCGAGGCGUUGGGGGGAAGACGACGCGCGGUGUCGCUGACGCGCCGGGCCCGCGGCUCUUUCAUGCCAAAACCACUCGCGCCGGCGCCCCAGCGCGCCGGGUUCGGCCUGGGUCCGCCGGCGCUAAUUUCGGCCCAGGCUGGCGAAAAUCGGGUUCCUGGGGGCACGACUGGACCGAUUUUUCGGCGCUGGUGUGAAAAAUCGUCUGGGGAGACCUUUCUGGGGGCGCGGCUGAAGAUGCUCUAACUAGCUAGCACUCCUAGCAAGUAGCAAGUGUGAUUCAGGAAGCAUCCUCCUGAUGCGAUGCCUGGACAAAGCUUUGGCUCUCGGCUAAACCAGCUCAAAGCAAGGGAGAAAUCUCAUCCUGGGCUACCUCAUCAGCUCUGCUGCUAUGGUGCUGCUUUCUGCGACACCGAUAAAUCUAUCACCCAUUGUGGCUUUCCAAGCGUUAGCAAGCGCGGCUCCAGGUUCAAAACUUUAGGUGACCAUGCAUGUGCCGCACUGUCACAGUGUCACUGCCAGUCACUGAUGAUAGAUAAGCUGUGCAGUGAGCUGGAACGCUAAAGCCAUUGCUCGGCACUCAAUUCCAUCAUGGCAAAGCACCAGAUGCCCCCAUCUUUCUCCUCCUUUUAGUUCCUUUAAGCUAAGGGUGUAGGGUGAGUGAGCCCCGGCCCUUUUCAGUGCUCGCACUUGUGAUUUAUCAAACAAUGGGGGCGCGCAUAUACUGGAUCAGCUUUCAUCUUCUUCUUUUUUGGGGACUGAUCAACAUUCAUCUUUUCUCAGUUGUGUCACGGAUCUCGAGGGUUUCUCUUAAACGAUACCCGAGUCACGACACCCCCUCAAAAAAAAAAAAAAAGGAAACUUCAAAAGUACCCUUGUGCAAAAGCACCUGGGUGAACACUAAAUUCCAACAAUGCAAACAGUGAAUUCCGAAAAUGCAGGCGAGAGGCCGUAACGAGCAGCAGGCCCCCACCGGCAAAGUUGGCAAUGGUUUGAAAACCGCACUAUCUUCUAUAACACUAAGCUCCCUAGUUUUAAAGAGCCUACGUUCAAUUGAGGUCUUCAAUUGAGAUUAGGUCACCCAAUUUUGACCGGGUCAACAUUUUCUCAAAGCUCUCCCAUUCAUUUUUUUUUACUAUACACCGUGCUUCCAAAUUUUUAAGACAUCACAAUUAAUUAAGGUCUUUAAUUUAGAACCAGGCUACUCGAUUUGACCGGGUCAACAAUUUCUUGAGGAGCUCUCCCAUUCAAUUAUUUUAAUUCACAAUAUUCCCUAAUUUUGAAGCUAUUUCAUUGAAUUGAAUUUUAUAUUUGGUUUAGUAUUUUGAUCGGGCCAAUAAUUUUUCGAAUCAAUCAGCAACAAGCGGCCUAUAGAAAUAUAUCAAUCUUGGCACCCUGCCAUCACCUAGAAAAAGGAAACGUCGCCAUUUGAUACUAUAGCACCAAUAUAAUAGCGGCUACCGACUUAGAAAUUUCCCCACAUAAAUAGAGGUUUACUAACGGAUAACACGCGUGUAGAAUUAGUGCUAGCUAAGCACAAUAUUAUCUUGCGUGUACGAUUAGGUACAUGCUAUCUCUGGUUAUACGAAUCCACGUCGAGCACACGAGAAAGAUCUCGGUCGAAAGUUGUUGCUGUUCUACUACAUCUUCAUGGCCGCGCGAGCAGUGUCCGCCGCCGCCGCCUCUGUCGCCGGUCGCCAGGUGGCAAGCCAGACCAGGUUGCCGGAGUGCGGCAGCCACGACAGCGGAUGACCACUACGGGUAGCCGCGGAGCCGCAGCUUGCCGCAAUCGGUGCUGUCGCGGAGGCGGGACCAGCGAGCCAUGAGCAGCCGCGGCUGCACAGCGGAAACAAGAGGCCAGCAGUCAACCUGUUUGGAACUGGAACAAUUAAAACCCAUACCUAACCACACCCAGUAUUUUCUACACGAAACCAAGCUAAACCAACAAUCAGACUCAACCUGCUAAUAACCAAACUAAACAAGCACAGCAGGUGAAACUGACACAAAACAGCCGGCUAAACCAAAACCAUUCUCAGAUUUAUCCGCCCGUGCACGUCGCCGUGCCGCAUGUCAUGUGCAUGGAUGUUGCUAGAUGUGGGCCAAAUAAUGGUAUGUCUACAUAUGAGAAUACAUCCAUAAAUAGUUACAUACAUGUAUGGUCUAUAUGACAAGCACGAUCAGGGGCUAAAAUUAAAAUGCACCUUUAUAUGUUCCCGCAAAAAACCUUUAUGUUAUCUCAGUUUGUUUCCCAACAAACAACAAAACGCAAUGGAGCCUCACAAACGUACAUAAGAAUAAUCAACCGUCUACAUAGAUCAUCUUUUCCAUUUAAAAAACAUAGAUCAUUUCUUUAAAAAAAAUAAGCACAAUAAUAUAGUCCCUCUGUUCCUAAAUAUAAGUCCUUUUAGAGAUUUCAAUAUGGACUACAUACGGAGCAAAAUGAGUGAAUCUACACUCUAAAACAUGUCUAUAUACAUUCGUAUGUGGUCCAUAUUGAAAUCUCUAUAGAGACUUAUAUUUAGGAACGGAGGGAGUAGUACUAAUUUGUAGCACGUCUUAUCUGAUGCCAAGCUCAACUUCAGGUUAUCGAAGGGUCAUCAAACUAAAUUAGUAGGUCGGAUAUUCCUUUGUACCAAACAAAUUAUAUACGUGUCAUUCAUAACAUUAAACAAGUCUAGAAAAUGAGUGAGGCGUUUUGGCUUCCAGGCUCAUCUGCACCUGCACUGAAUAUAAAAAUCAAAAUAAAUACUAGAAAAAUUCAAAAAGUUCCAAAUUUUUUGCAUGGUAGAUAAUUUGGUACGUGAUGUCCGCUAAAAUUUCAAAUCAUUUGGACAUUUGAGUAGCUCUCGGCAAAAAGGCAAAUCUGCGGUCUGUUAAAAAGUGUACUGUUUAUAUAUUGUUCUGAUCCAAUUUGUCUUUUUUGCUGAGAGCUACUCAGGUUUCCGAAUGCUCUAAAUUUUCAGCGAACCUCACGCACCAAAUUAUCUAACUUGCACAAAAAGUUUGGAUUUUUUUGAUUUUUUAAUUGUUUUUUUGUUGACCGGGUGCAGAUAAGCCCGGGCUCAGAAUUGGAUAUUCGGUUGCUUUCUAGAUACUCAAUGAAAACUAUGACAUAGCUACAUGGCUGCAGUAUGUCGUCAUGUUUUUUUCUUCUGAAAUGCCCAAUUUUCUCUAUGAAAUAAGCCUUUUCAACUUAUUCCCUUAAAAGAAAAGCAUGUUCCAAUUCGAAAUUGAAAGAUGGAAAUAAUGCAAACAGCUUCAUAACAUAAACAUAACACAAAUCUACCAGCAAGGUGGUGGCCUUUACGCACAAUUUAAUGCAAGAAAAUCCCCCAUGAACACGCAAAAAAGUCAUGAUAGGGCAAGAGGUGGUGUCUCCUAUGAGAGAGAGAGAGAGAGAGAGUAAACAAAUGUUGCAAAUGGAGUGUUUAGUAAAGAUGUGUAAAAAAUGUAGACAAUGGAGCGACUAGUAAAUUUAUGGCGUACAAAUUUCUAAAUAGUGUUUUUAGCAAAACUAAACAAAUAAGUUGUUUUCUACUGUCAAAAGUCAUUGCACUCUAUGUGGUUAUAUCAUCUCAAUGCGACAUUUAAGUGGAUAAAAUGCCCUUUAUCAAAAUGUCAUUGAACAAGAACAAUAAAUUGAUGUGAGUGAAUGACCCAGCAACCUUCACUUGUAUAUAGACAGCAGCACAAUGAUUUCCCUUCAUCCUAUAUAUACAUCACCUCAUUCAUUCACACCAUUCACUUUGGUGACAUGGCUCCUUAUUUUGAAUAGUUUACUAUAGCAAGUAUGCAUAUGGCAAAACUAAGGAGAUAAUUAGUAUACAUAGUAAUAUGAGACAUCAGGAAAUAAGUACAUACUGGACGGAAAUAUCUUGUAAUUAACUGUUUAAACAAGAGGGUGAGAAGGAGAGGUGUGGUAGUUCCUUAUAAGGCAAUGCAUAUAGUGGAGCAUGUAGUAGAAAUGUAGCAUGAUGCAUCGACCCAAAAUAUCUGGCUUGUUAUAGGAUUGGCAAAGGAUCAUACAACAAGCUGGGAUCGAACCAGGUAAAUUUAAUAAUUUGGUACUCCACUCUAUUAGGUAGAAAGUCUUUCUUGGUGGUUUGGGGCAUAGAGGUUUCCAGUAGUGGCACUAGAUACUUGAUCGAUAAUGAAAACUAUGACAUAGCUACAAUGAUGGUGUAUGUCGUCAUGUUUUUUUCUUCUGAAAAUGCCCGAUUUUCUCUAUAAAAUAAGCUUUUUCAGCUUAUUCCCUUAAACUAAAAGCAUAUUCCAAUUCAAAUUUGAAAGAUGGAAAUACAAACAACUUCACAACAUAAACAUAACACAAAUCUACUAGCAAGGUGGUGGCCUUUACGCACAAUUUAAUGCAAGAAAAUCCCCCGUGAAUAUGAAAAAAGGUUAUGAUAGGGGAAGAGGUAGCUAGUGUAUCCUAUUCGAGAGAGAGAGAGAGAGAGAGAGAGGGAGGGAGGGAGGGAGGGAGGGGGGAGAGAGCACUAGUAGAAAAAGGGCCUAUUGUCCCGGUUGGUAAGGGCCUUUUGUCCCGGUUUUUGAACGGGGACUAAAGGGUCGUUACUAAUGCCCUAACCCUUUAGUCCCGGUUCUUACACGAACCGGGAAAGAUGGGCCUCCACGUGGCCGGUGCGGCGAGCCCAGGCAGGAGGGCCUUUGGUCCCGGUUGGUGGCACUAACAGGGACCAAUAGGCAUCCACGCGUCAGCAUUUCAGGGGCUGGGGUUUUUGUUUUUUUUUUGAAAGGGGGGGGAGGGUUGGGGGUUUUGGGAAAGGUUAAUUUAGGUGUUUCAUAUAUUGUGUUAGCUAGCUAAUUAAUAGAGAGAAGUGUCCUCUCUUAUCUCCGUGCUUGGUCGACGCUACGUACUAUAUACGUAUGAAGAGGACUAGACAUGCUAGCUAGUAAGCAAAUGAAGGAAGCAGAAGAUCGUCAUGAACAUAUGCAUAUAGAGAGAAGUGAUAUCGACCACCUCUCCUUCUUUGAGAGAUUGGUCGAACAACAAGUUCUCGUAUAUCUAUCCGACACUACCGGCUACAUAUAUACAAUAAUUAUCUCUUACAAUAUAAUCUCCUAAUUAAAUUGUAAGAACACAGGGUCCACAUAGUAUUCUUCGUUUUCAGCGAUCACGUGGUCAAGGAAGAAUGCCGCCAAUUCCUCUUGAAUUGCUCGCAUACGAUCUGGUGCUAGGAGUUCACCCCGCAUCCGAAAGAUCUAAUUUGAAGAAGGGGGUCAACACAUAUACAUACAUAUAUAUAUAUAUAUAUGAAUAAAUGAAACUCGACACAAAUGAUGGUAAUAAAAUAAAAUUGUGAAUAUUAUUGCUUACGCACUUCAUAUUGUUCGUCAGAGUAGCCCCGCUCACAGGUCGUGUAGCGGAUGGACUCGCAAACGUAGUAUCCACAGUAAUUAUUCCCGGGUUCCUGCCACAACCACUUUACAAGAAAUAGAGGUCAAUCAAACUGAUAAGCAAGCAUGCUAAAUGGUAUUGAUGAAACUAGCGCUUGAAUCACUAGGAGAUGCGCGGAACAUGCUACUAUAGUACUUACUUUCGGGUGUCUAAAUUGCAGCUUCUUCGGCAGUCCCGGAGCUUUUUUGGUGAAUUUUCUCCAAACCCUGCCAGACAAAGAAAACAAUUACUUGAUAUCAGGAAAUGAACAAAGUUGCUGAUAUGGUGGAUAAUGAUCGAUUUAACUUACUUCUCGAGCAUUUGAGUCAUGUCUGCAUAGUCCUGGGGAUCUUUUCGUCUCGAGUCUAAGACGGUUACUACUCCCUGCUCAAGCUUAAUCUCUAGGAGAAUAUAGUGGAAGCUACGCACGCAUGUAUAAGUCAUCAAUUACAUUACUAUAACCUGGACUAAUAAGGGAAACCGAAUAUGCACAAGACAGUAACACUCACUUGAAGUUGUAAGGAAAGAGUAUUAUAUCUUUGUUUUCAUUUAUUACCAACGAUCGUAGCAAGUUGGCCUCGGUAUUUUCGGCAUGAUAUUUAACCUCAGUUGCAUCUAUGAGAUUUGUGUUAAUGAACCCAAUAUCACCGAUUUGUCUUUUCUUCAAUUCGGCGAUCUUCAAUCUGCAUAAUAUAGUGAGGAUAAUUAUAAAUACAUGCAAUGAAAGAGCUGACCUAUAUAUAGAGACUUAAUGACAGAAGUAGUACUACUUACAGACAGUAGCAAGUGAUCGUUGAUUUAUCGAGGGCCUUUUGAUUGAAAAACUGAAAGAACUCCUCAAAUGGAACAUUCAACAGUUCAAUUCCAACGAGGUCAUGCUCCGGUUUAACUCUCAGCGUCAAAGUAUUCCUCCCCCCAGACUCUCUGCAGGUUUUCAUGUACCAAUCAUGUAAUCUUCGCAUCAUCGUUGUUAGAGAUCUUUCAUCUUUGACGAGAGGCUUACCGUAAUGGUAUUUGUGUUCGUCCACCUCCAAGAAAUCAUAAUGUACAUCGUCGGGCAGGUAAUCUCCAAGAUUGCUAUAACCGGGCACCAUCCUCUGAUCUACAGCGACGAUGUCGCUAGACACCUUGAGCGGGGGGCACGAUUGGUUCGCUUGUUCGCCGAGCUGGUCAAUUUUUUCCCAGCUCGUCGUUCUUUUAACCUUUGAUCACUGACAGUACUUCCCGACCGCUCUGCUUCGGCAAAUGUCUUUGCAAUAAUGCGCUCAUAGUUGCCUCUCGGCGGAGACUUUGGUGGUUUUGUCAGGGCAGACAGAGUGCGCUUCGCUUUCAUCGGAUCUACCUUCUCCUCCAAAGGUGGAUGUUUCUUUGCUUUCACCCCUUCAAAGAAGUUCGUCACUUCGGCUCACACGAUCUUCGUGGUUUCCUCCUCGGUCCUCUCGUAUGGUAACUUCUCUGGAGUCUUCAGAGAAGGACCGAAUCUGUAUUGCCUCCCGCCUCUGGCUGUACUGCUAGACGCCGGCAGAGCAGAUGGAGCGGCUGCGGCUAUCUUCUUUCCUUGCUUACGAGGCGGAGGAGAAGGACUACGACGCGCCGGAGCAGCCGGAGCGGCGGCGGGUCUCUUCCGCCCUUGCCGACGAGGCGGAGAAGGAGGAGGCUGGCUGCUCUGGCGUGCCGGCGCAGGUGGAGAAGGAGGCGGAGUGCCGCCACGCGCCGGAGAAGGAGGCUGAGUGCCCUGAUCACUCGCCGGAGGAGAAGGCGGAGGAGGAGGCGGAGUGCCGCCACGCGCCGGAGAAGGAGGCUGAGUGCCCUGAUCACUCGCCGGAGGAGGAGGCGGAGUGCCCUUACUCGCCGCAGGCGUCAAGUUCGGAAGGUUGAUGAGCUCCUUCCGCCAUAGGCAUGGAGUCUUCAGAGCAGAACCCAGCCGAGUCUCCCCUUCACCGGUAGGGUGGUCAAGCUCGAGGUCCUCAAAUCCGUCCGUUAUUUCAUCCACCAUCACCCUAGCAUAUCCUUCUGGAAUCGGCCGGCAGUGGUAGGUUGCGGCAGGUUCAGUAGGUAAAACAGAGCCAACAGCCGCCUUGACUUUGAAUUUCAUCCAUUGCGUCAUAAGGUGGCAAUGUUGAGACUCCGUGAUAGCAUCCACGGGGUAGCUAGCAGGAGCCGUCAAGACAUGCUCCGGCUGAAGCAGCUCGGUGGAAGCCAUGCUGCUUCUCCGCUGAGAUGGCGGGGUAGUUUCGGCAUGUCGAUUGCCGUCUCGUUCCUCUAGCGCUUGAACCCUUUCGUGCAACUUCUGAAUUUGGGUCUGCUCCACUUUUUUCCUCCUCUCCUGGCUUUUGUAACCGCCUGCGUCCGGAAAACCAGCCUUCCAUGGAACGGAGCCUGGCGUGCCUCGUGUCCGUCCAGGGUGCUCAGGAUUCCCGAGGGCCAUUGUGAGCUCGUCGUUCUCUAUGUCUGGAACGAACGUCCCUUCCUGCGCUGCAUCGAUAUAGUGCUGAAGCCUCUUGACUGGUAUUCUCAAAAGCUCGUCCGUCCAAACGCACCUCCCUGAUACAGGGUCCAAUUUUCCGCCAGCCCCGAAGAACCAAGUCUGGCAACGGUCUGGCUAGUUCAUUGUCUGUGGUUUGAUCCCUUUAUCAAGCAGAUCAUUCUCAGCCUUGGCCCCCUUAGGCCGGGCUUUGAGGUAGCCACCUGACCCCGUGCGAUGGUGAAGCUUCUUCUUCGCAGCAUUCUUCUUGUUUGUCGCUGACAUCUUCUUACUCUUUUCCAAUGUCUUGUGGGCCACAAAUGCGGGCCAGUGAUCUCUGAUCUUCUCAUACCGGCCGAUGAAUUCUGGUGUCUCUUCUUUGUCGACAAACGUUUUCAGCUCAUUCUUCCACCUCCUGAAUAGGUCUGCCAUCUUCUUAAGAGCAUGAGACUUGAUUAAUUGCUCUUUAACUGGCUUCUCCGGAUCCUCCUCUGGCGGUAGGGUGAAAUUUGCCUUCAGCUCAGUCCAAAGAUCAUCUUUCUGCAUAUCAUUGACAUAAGACACCUCAGGGUCUUCCUUCUUAGGCUUAUACCAUUGAUGGAUGCUGAUCGGGAUCUUGCCCCUAACAAGAACCCCGCACUGAUCAGCAAAUGCUUCCUUUGUCCGGAUGGGUUCAAUCGGUUGGCCGUCGCGCGCGAUUGUUGUGAUCUCAAACCUUUCAUCCGAGCACAACUUUCUCUUCGGGCCUCGUCUCUUUACCGAAGUUGUGCUCGAUCCGGAGGGCUAGAAAAAAGAAGAAACGAGAGUUAAUUAAUAUGUGUACAUACCAAAACAAUGAAUGCAUCAAUUAGCUAGUCAACAUAGGCUUAACUAAUAUAUUUACCUGGCCGGACUGUUUUCGGUCACCGGAGCCGUCACCACGGGCUCCUUCUUGCACCAGCAUUGGGUCACCGGAGCCAUCAUAAUCAUGUCUUUCCUCCUCCACUCUUCGAUCACCGUAGCCUGCUUCUUCACCCUGUUCUUCCAGACCAUCAUUGUCGUUAAGAUACGACAAGACAUCACCUCCGGCUAAGAUUAUGUCCCCCAACACCUCUUCUGCUACCUCGUCUCGUCCGUGCUCCAUUGUUUCUGCAAAUAUUACAACAUGGCAAUUAUUACACAAACAUGACAGCAGGUAGAUAUAUUAGUGCAAACGUAGACCUAGCUUAUUUCGGGUUUGGGGUGGCCUCGGCAACGCUUCAAGGGUAGGGGCGCGGCGGGAGGGGGUAGGAGACCGACAUCAUUUUUUUCUACGGUUUGGGUGUCCUCGAGAGUUUUGGUCGAGCGAGAGGGCCGGGGGGUGCUCCCGUGGUAUAAGUUAUCACGGUCGAGAGGGGUAUAUAUAUCGACCGCCCAUCAUGUCGAAGUUAUUUUGGAAUGGAGUUCCCGAUAAAAAUUAAGAAGAGGAAGUAGAAGAUAAAAAAAGAGGAGAAGAAGAAAAAAAAGGAGAAGAAGAAGGAAUAGAGGAGAAGAAGAAAAAAUAGACUCUAUUUUUUCUUCUUCUCCUCUAUUCCUUCUUCUUCUCCUCUUACUUUUCUUCUUAAUCCUCUUCUUAGUUCAUUCCUUCUUCCUUUCUUCCUAGCUAGAUAUAUAAAACUUUUCUAAAAAAUGUUGUCGGGGAGGGGGUACCGACCUCCCCUCAUGUUGAAAUUAUCGGGGAGGGGGUAUAUCGACCCCCACCCCCCUCAUCAUGCAUAUAUAGCUACCACAUACAUAUAUACAUUGAAAAAAAAAUUACAUAUAUACAACAAAAACAUUAAUACACAUAUGAACAAAAAAAAUACAUAUAUGAACAAAAACAUGUUGUGAACAAAAAAAAUUAAUGUAAUAAGUCUAAUAAGAAAUUAAUCUAAUAAAAAACAUGCUCUGAACUUACAUAUAGCCACAUACAUACAAAUAUACAUUAUAUAUAUAUGAACAAAAAAUUAAUCUAAUACAAAAUAAAAACAGAGUCUGACCGGCGCGACGGCUCAUAGCGGGGGCGUCUGGCGACNNNNNNNNNNNNNNNNNNNNNNNNNNNNNNNNNNNNNNNNNNNNNNNNNNNNNNNNNNNNNNNNNNNNNNNNNNNNNNNNNNNNNNNNNNNNNNNNNNNNNNNNNNNNNNNNNNNNNNNNNNNNNNNNNNNNNNNNNNNNNNNNNNNNNNNNNNNNNNNNNNNNNNNNNNNNNNNNNNNNNNNNNNNNNNNNNNNNNNNNNNNNNNNNNNNNNNNNNNNNNNNNNNNNNNNNNNNNNNNNNNNNNNNNNNNNNNNNNNNNNNNNNNNNNNNNNNNNNNNNNNNNNNNNNNNNNNNNNNNNNNNNNNNNNNNNNNNNNNNNNNNNNNNNNNNNNNNNNNNNNNNNNNNNNNNNNNNNNNNNNNNNNNNNNNNNNNNNNNNNNNNNNNNNNNNNNNNNNNNNNNNNGGACCAAAGGCACCCUUUAGUCCCGGUUGGUGCCACCAACCGGGACGGAAAGCCUUGCACAGCGGCGUGGUGGUGGGAGUUUAGUCCCACCUCGCUAGCUGAGAGAGAGCCGCACCUGUUUAUAAGGUGCGGUGCGCCUGAGCUGUCGAGCUCCUCUCCAAAGCAGGCUUACGGGCCUAACCUCUCUGUACAUGCCUGUGGGCCUACUGGGCCUUCUGCGGGCCUGAAUCCUGGCCCAUGGAUUGGUUUCUAGUCGUAUUCAGGCCGUGGUGGCCCAGUAGUGGCAUAAUUUUUAUUUUUUUGCCUUUUUUUGUUUUCUUUUUUGCUUUAUUUAUUUUGUUUUGUUUCUACAUACAACAAAAAACUUAUUUAUUUUAUUUUAUUUUAUUUUGUUUCUAAGUACUUAUUUAUUUUACUUUAUGAUAAUUCUUUUUGCUAUUAAAGUUUCUAACAAAAAAAGUUCUUUAUGAAAAUUCUUUUUGCUUUGAAUGAUUUUGAACAGAAAAUACUUCGAUAAUUUUAGUUGCAUCAAUUUUAUAUAAUUUUAGUUUCAAUAAUACUAGAGGUUGCUUAUAAUGUUUUGAACAGAAAAUACUUUGAUAAUUCUAGUUUCAUAAAUUUUAUUUAUGUUAUUAAAGUUUAUUUUAUUUUGUUUCUACUUAUAUAUUUUAUUAAAGUUUAUAUUAUUUUGUUUCUAAUUACUUAUUUAUUAUAUUUGUUAUUUUUCGUGCACCAUUUUUCAUGCAUUUACUGAUUAUUUUGAGCUAUAAGACCCUAAAAUUGAAAAGCAUUUCAAAUGAACUCUGGAAAGGUUGAAAUUUGGCAUGGUAUCAUCAUUUCAUCCACAUAGCAUGUGCAAGAAAGUUGAGAGGGUUACGGCAAAAACUGGAUGCACUUCGUGUACAAAACGGACAAUCUCUUUCGAAGUAUCAGGAUUUCAUAUGGAAACUCGUCUGUUACAAAGGGAUUUCAUUUUUUUAAACUUAUUUGAACUCCUGACUUUUUGUGUGUUCAAAAUGCACCAUUCAAAGCCACAACAUCAAUUUUCAACCCUUUCUGACUUCAUUUGUUAUUUUUCAUGCAUUUAUUGAUUAUUUUGAGCUAUAAGACUUUGAAAUUGAAAAGCAUUUCAAAUGACCUCUGAAAAGGUUGAAAGUUGGCAUGGUAUCAUCAUUUCAUCCACAUAGCAUGUGCAAGAAAGUUGAGAGGGUUACGGCAAAAACUGGAUACACUUCGUGUACAAAACGGACAAUGGUAUCAUACUCGUCUGUUACAAAGUUGACAUGGUAUCAUCAUAAUAGUUGCGGGAGAAAGUCUUCACUUUUUCUUCGCUUGUGUCAUUUGCUUAUUGCACCGUAACCAUGGAUAAUCUUCAUCGUUUAUCAGGAUGCUUGGGUCAGCCUUGACUUUGAAGGGAGGAAUUUCAUGAAACUUUUCAUAAUCUUCAGACAUGUCUGUCUUGCCCUCGACUCCCACAAUGUCCCUUUUUCCUGAAAGAACUAUGUAGCGUUUUGGCUCAUCGUAUGAUGUAUUCGCUUCCUUAUCUUUUCUUUUUCUCGGUCUGGUAGACAUGUCCUUCACAUAGAUAACCUGUGCCACAUCAUUGGCUAGGACGAACGGUUCGUCAGUGUACCCAAGAUUGUUUAGAUCCACUGUUGUCAUUCCGUAUUGUGGGUCUACCUGUACCCCGCCUCCUGACAGAUUGACCCAUUUGCACUUAAACAAAGGGACCUUAAAAUCAUGUCCGUAGUCAAGUUCCCAUAUGUCCAUUAUGUAACCAUAAUAUGUGUCCUUUCCCCUCUCGGUUGCUGCAUCAAAGCGGACACCACUAUUUUGGUUGGUGCUCUUUUGAUCUUGGGCGAUCAUGUAAAAUGUACUCCCAUUUAUCUCGUAUCCUUUGUAAGUCAAUACAGUCGAAGAUGGUCCCCUGGACAAUGAGUACAACUCAUCACAAACAGUGGUGUCACCUCUGAGACGUGUUUCCAACCAACUGCUAAAAGUCCUGAUGUGUUCACAUGUAAUCCAGUCGUCACACUGCUUCGGGUGUUUGGAGCGCAGACUGUUCUUGUGUUCAUCGACAUACGAGGUCACCAAGGUAGAGUUCUGUAGAACUGUGUAGUGUGCUUGAGACCAAGAAUGCCCGUCCCUGCAUAUUAUUGAGUCCGCUCCUAGCGUGCCUUUUCUAGUCAGUCUCCCCUCAUACCGCGAUUUAGGGAGACCUAUCUUCUUAAGGCCAGGAAUGAAGUCAACACAAAACCCAAUGACAUCCUCUGUUUGAUGGCCCAUGAAGAUGCUUCCUUCUGGCCUAGCGCGGUUACGGACAUAUUUCUUUAGGACUCUCAUGAACCUCUCAAAGGGGAACAUAUUUUGUAGAAAUACGGGCCCCAGAAUGACAAUCUCGUCGACUAGAUGAACUAGGACGUGCGUCAUGAUAUUGAAGAGGGAUGGUGGGAACACCAGCUCGAAACUGACAAGACAUUGCGCCACAUCACUCCUUAGCCUUGGUAUGAUUUCUGGAUCAAUCACCUUCUGAGAGAUUGCAUUGAGGAAUGCACAUAGCUUCACAAUGGCUAAUCGGACGUUUGUCGUUGCCGGGUUGCUUAGGGCCUUGGAUGAGAACUGGCAUCAUAAUGAACUUCCGCUUCAUGCACAUCCAAGGAGGAAGGUUAUACAUACAUAGAGUCACGGGCCAGGUGCUGUGAUUGCUGCUCUGCUCCCCGAAAGGAUUAAUGCCAUCCGCGCUUAAACCAAACCAUACGUUCCUUGGGUCAGCUGCAAACUCAGCCCAGUACUUUCUCUUGAUUUUUCUCCAAUGCGACCCGUCAGCGGGUGCUCUCAACUUCCCGUCUUUCUUACGGUCCUCACUGUGCCAUCGCAUCAACUUGGCAUGCUCUUCGUUUCUGAACAGACGUUUCAACCGUGGUAUUAUAGGAGCAUACCACAUCACCUUCGCAGGAACCCUCUUCCUGGGGGGCUCGCCAUCAACAUCACCAGGGUCAUCUCGUCUGAUCUUAUACCGUAAUGCACCGCAUACCGGGCAUGCGUUCAGAUCCUUGUACGCACCGCGGUAGAGGAUGCAGUCAUUAGGGCAUGCAUGUAUCUUCUGUUGGGAAUCGUAGCAUAAUUUAAAAAAAAUUCCUACGCUCACCAAGAUGCAUCUAUGGAGUGUACUAGCAACGAGGGGAAGGGUGUGCAUCUACAUACCCUUGUAGAUCGCGAGCGGAAGCGUUCCAAUGAACGUGGAUGACGGAGUCGUACUCGCCGUGAUCCAAAUCACCGAUGACCGAGUGCCGGACGGACGGCACCUCCGCGUUCAACACACGUACGGUGCAGCGACGUCUCCUCCUUCUUGAUCCAGCAAGGGGGAAGGAGAGGUUGAUGGAGAUCCAGCAGCACGACGGCGUGGUGGUGGAUGUGGCGGGUCUCCGGCAGGGCUUCGCCGAGCUUCUGCGAGAGAGAGAGAGAGGUGUUGCAGGGGAGGAGGGAGGCGCCCAAGGCUGUAGGUUGCUGCCCUCCCUCCCCCCCUUUAUAUAGGCCCCUGGGGGGGUGCGCCGGCCCUGGGAGAUGGGAUCUCCAAGGGGGGGGGCAAGGGGGGAAGGGGUUGCCUUGCCCCCCAAGGCAAGGGGGAAGCUCCCCCCUAGGGUUCCCAACCCUAGGCGCAUGGGGGGAGGCCCAAGGGGGGCGCCCCAGCCCACUAUGGGCUGGUUCCCUUCCACUUUCAGCCCACUGGGCCCUCCGGGAUAGGUGGCCCCACCCGGUGGACCCCCGGGACCCUUCCGGUGGUCCCGGUACAAUACCGGUAACCCCCGAAACUUUCCCGGUGGCCGAAACUAGACUUCCUAUAUAUAAUUCUUCACCUCCGGACCAUUCCGGAACCUCUCAUGACAUCCGGGAUCUCAUCCGGUACUCCGAACAACUUUCGGGUUUCCGCAUACAUAUAUCUCUACAACCCUAGCGUCACCGGACCUUAAGUGUGUAGACCCUACGGGUUCGGGAGACAUGCAGACAUGACCGAGACGCCUCUCCGGUCAAUAACCAACAGCGGGAUCUGGAUACCCAUGUUGGCUCCCACAUGUUCCACGAUGAUCUCAUCGGAUGAACCACGGUGUCGAGGAUUCAAUCAAUCCGUAUGCAAUUCCCUUUGUCAUUCGGUAUGUUACUUGCCCGAGAUUCGAUCGUUGGUAUCCCAAUACCUUGUUCAAUCUCGUUACCGGCAAGUCUCUUUACUCGACCGCAAUGCAUGAUCCCGUGACUAACGCCUUAGUCACAUUGAGCUCAUUAUGAUGAUGCAUUACCGAGUGGGCCCAGAGAUACCUCUCCGUCACACGGAGUGACAAAUCCCAGUCUCGAUCCGUGCCAACCCAACAGACACUUUCGGAGAUACCCGUAAUGCACCUUUAUAGUCACCCAGUUACGUUGUGACGUUUGGCACACCCAAAGCACUCCUACGGUAUCCGGGAGUUGCACGAUCUCAUGGUCUAAGGAAAAGAUACUUGACAUUGGAAAAGCUCUAGCAAACGAAACUACACGAUCUUUUAUGCUAUGCUUAGGAUUGGGUCUUGUCCAUCACAUCAUUCUCCUAAUGAUGUGAUCCCGUUAUCAAUGACAUCCAAUGUCCAUAGUCAGGAAACCAUGACUAUCUGUUGAUCAACGAGCUAGUCAACUAGAGGCUUACUAGGGACACGUUGUGGUCUAUGUAUUCACACAUGUAUUACGAUUUCCGGACAAUACAAUUAUAGCAUGAAUAAUAGACAAUUACCAUGAACAAAGAAAUAUAAUAAUAACCAUUUAUUAUUGCCUCUAGGGCAUAUUUCCAACAGUCUCCCACUUGCACUAGAGUCAAUAAUCUAGUUACAAUGUGAUGAAUCGAACACCCAUUCCGUCCUGGUGUUGAUCAUGUUUUGCCCUAGGGAGAGGUUUAGUCAACGGAUCUGCUACAUUCAGGUCCGUGUGUACUUUACAAAUAUCUAUGUCUCCAUUUUGAACACUUUCACGAAUGGAGUUGAAGCGACGGUUGAUAUGCCUGGUCUUCCUGUGAAACCUGGGCUCCUUCGCAAGGGCAAUAGCUCUAGUGUUGUCACAGAAGAGAGUCAUUGGGCCCGACGCAUUGGGAAUCACCCCUAGGUCGGUAAUGAACUCCUUCAUCCAGACUGCUUCCUGUGCUGCCUCCGAGGCUGCCAUGUACUCCGCUUCACAUGUAGAUCCCGCCACGACGCUUUGCUUGCAACUGUACCAGCUUACUGCUCCUCCAUUCAAAAUAUACACGUAUCCGGUCUGUGACUUCGAGUCAUCCAGAUCUGUGUCGAAGCUAGCGUCGACGUAACCCUUUACGACAAGCUCUUCGUCACCUCCAUAAACGAGAAACAUAUCCUUAGUCCUCUUCAGGUACUUCAGGAUAUUCUUGACCGCUGUCCAGUGUUCCUUGCCGGGAUUACUUUGGUACCUUCCUACCAAACUUACGGCAAGGUUUACAUCAGGUCUGGUACACAGCAUGGCAUACAUAAUAGACCCUAUGGCCGAGGCAUAGGGGAUGACACUCAUCUCUUCUAUAUCUUCUGCCGUGGUCGGGCAUUGAGCCGUGCUCAAUUGCACACCUUGCAAUACAGGCAAGAACCCCUUCUUGGACUGAUCCAUACUGAACUUCUUCAAUAUCUUGUCAAGGUAUGUACUCUGUGAAAGACCAAUGAGCCGUCUUGAUCUAUCUCUAUAGAUCUUGAUGCCUAAUAUAUAAGCAGCUUCUCCAAGGUCCUUCAUUGAAAAACACUUAUUCAAAUAGGCCUUUAUACUUUCCAAGAAUUCUAUAUCAUUUCCCAUCAAUAGUAUGUCAUCCACAUAUAAUAUGAGAAAUGCUACAGAGCUCCCACUCACUUUCUUGUAGACACAGGCUUCUCCAUAAGUCUGUGUAAACCCAAACGCUUUGAUCAUCUCAUCAAAGCGAAUGUUCCAACUCCGAGAUGCUUGCACCAGCCCAUAGAUUGAGCGCUGGAGCUUGCAUACUUUGUUAGCAUUCUUAGGAUCGACAAAACCUUCCGGCUGCAUCAUAUACAACUCUUCCUUAAGGAAGCCAUUAAGGAAUGCCGUUUUGACGUCCAUCUGCCAUAUCUCAUAAUCAUAGUAUGCGGCAAUUGCUAACAUGAUUCGGACGGACUUAAGCUUCGGUACGGGUGAGAAAGUCUCAUCGUAGUCAACCCCUUGAACUUGUCGAUAACCCUUAGCGACAAGUCGAGCUUUGUAGAUGGUCACAUUACCAUCCGCGUCCGUCUUCUUCUUAAAGAUCCAUUUGUUUUCUAUGGCUCGCCGCUCAUCGGGCAAGUCAGUCAAAGUCCAUACUUUGUUUUCAUACAUGGAUUCUAUCUCGGAUUUCAUGGCUUCUAGCCAUUUGUCGGAAUCCGGGCCCGCCAUCGCUUCUUCAUAGUUCGAAGGUUCACCGUUGUCUAACAACAUGAUUUCCAGGACAGGGUUGCCGUACCACUCUGGUGCGGAACGUGUCCUUGUGGACCUACGAAGUUCAGUAGCAACUUGAUCCGAAGCUUCAUGAUCAUCAUCAUUAACUUCCUCCCCAGUCGGUGUAGGCACCACAGGAACAUUUUCCCGCGCUGCGCUACUUUCCGGUUCGGAAGGGGUGACUAUCACCUCAUCAAGUUCCACUUUCCUCCCACUCAAUUCUUUCGAGAGAAACUCCUUCUCCAGAAAGGACCCGUUCUUGGCAACGAAGAUCUUGCCUUCGGAUCUGAGGUAGAAGGUAUACCCAAUCGUUUCCUUAGGGUAUCCUAUGAAGAUGCAUUUUUCCGACUUGGGUUCGAUCUUUUCAGGUUGAAGUUUCUUGACAUAAGCAUCGCAUCCCCAAACUUUUAGAAAUGACAGCUUAGGUUUCUUCCCAAACCAUAAUUCAUACGGUGUCGUCUCAACGGAUUUCGACGGAGCCCUAUUUAAAGUGAAUGCGGCAGUCUCUAAAGCAUAACCCCAAAAUGAGAGCGGUAAAUCGGUAAGAGACAUCAUAGAUCGCACCAUAUCCAAUAGAGUGCGAUUACGACGUUCGGACACACCAUUUCUUUGAGGUGUUCCAGGCGGCGUGAGUUGUGAAACUAUUCCACAUUUCCUUAAGUGUGUACCAAAUUCGUGACUUAAAUAUUCUCCACCACGAUCUGAUCGUAAGAAUUUUAUUCUCCUGUCACGUUGAUUCUCAACUUCACUCUGAAAUUCCUUGAACUUUUCAAAGGUUUCAGACUUGUGUUUCAUCAGGUAGACAUACCCAUAUCUACUUAAAUCAUCAGUGAGAGUGAGAACAUAACGAUAUCCUCCGCGAGCCUCAACACUCAUUGGACCACACACAUCGGUAUGUAUGAUUUCCAAUAAGUUGGUUGCUCGCUCCAUUGUUCCGGAGAACGGAGUCUUGGUCAUCUUACCGAUGAGGCAUGGUUCGCACGUGUCAAAUGAUUCGUAAUCAAGAGACUCCAAAAGUCCAUCUGCAUGGAGCUUCUUCAUGCGCUUGACACCAAUGUGACCAAGGCGGCAGUGCCACAAGUAUGUGGGACUAUCGUUAUCAACUUUACAUCUUUUGGUAUUCACACUAUGAACAUGUGUAACAUCACGUUCGAGAUUCAUCAAAAAUAAACCAUUGACCAGCGGGGCAUGACCAUAAAACAUAUCUCUCAAAUAAAUAGAACAACCAUUAUUCUCGGAUUUAAAUGAGUAGCCAUCUCGAAUUAAACGAGAUCCAGAUACAAUGUUCAUGCUCAAAGCUGGCACUAAAUAACAAUUAUUGAGGUUUAAAACUAAUCCCGUGGGUAGAUGCAGAGGUAGCGUGCCGACGGCGAUCACAUCGACCUUGGAACCAUUCCCGACGUGCAUCGUCACCUCGUCCUUUGCCAGUCUCUGUUUAUUCCGUAGUUCCUGCUUUGAGUUACAAAUAUGAGCAACCGCACCGGUAUCAAAUACCCAGGAGCUACUACGAGUACUGGUAAGGUACACAUCAAUUACUUGUAUAUCACAUAUACCUUGGGUGUUGCCGGCCUUCUUCUUGUCCGCUAAAUAUUUGGGGCAGUUCCGCUUCCAGUGACCACUUCCCUUGCAAUAAAAGCACUCAGUCCCGGGCUUGGGUCCAUUCUUUGACUUCUUCCCAGUAACUGGUUUACCGGGCGCGGCAACUCCCUUGCCGUCCUUCUUGAAGUUCUUCUUACCCUUGCCCUUCUUGAACUUGGUGGUUUUAUUCACCAUCAACACUUGAUGUUCUUUUCUGAUCUCCCCUUCUGCUGAUUUCAGCAUUGAAUAUACCUCGGGAAUGGUCUUUUCCAUCCCCUGCAUAUUGUAGUUCAUCACAAAGCUCUUGUAGCUUGGUGGAAGCGACUGGAGGAUUCUGUCAAUGACCGCGUCAUCCGGGAGAUUAACUCCCAGCUGAGACAAGCGGUUGUGCAACCCAGACAUUCUGAGUAUGUGCUCACUAACAGAACUGUUCUCCUCCAUUUUACAGCUGAAGAACUUGUCGGAGACAUCAUAUCUCUCGACCCGGGCAUGAGCUUGGAAAACUAGUUUCAGCUCCUCGAACAUCUCAUAUGCUCCAUGUUUCUCAAAACGCUUUUGGAGACCCGGUUCUAGGCUGUAAAGCAUGCCGCACUGAACGAGGGAGUAAUCAUCAGCACGUGAUUGCCAAGCGUUCAUAACGUCUUGGUUCUGUGGGAUUGGUGCAUCACCUAGCGGUGCUUCUAAGACAUAAUCUUUCUUGGCUACUAUGAGGAUGAGCCUCAGGUUCCGGACCCAGUCCGUAUAGUUGCUGCCAUCAUCUUUCAGCUUGGUUUUCUCUAGGAACGCGUUGAAAUUGAGGACAACGUUGGCCAUUUGAUCUACAAUACAUAGUGUAAAGAUUUUUAGACUAAGUUCAUGAUAAUUAAGUUCAUCUAAUCAAAUUAUUUAAUGAACUCCCACUCAGAUAGACAUCCCUCUCGUCAUCUAAGUGAAACAUGAUCCGAGUUUAACUAGGCCGUGUCCGAUCAUCACGUGAGACGGACUAGUCAAGAUCGGUGAACAUCUCCAUGUUGAUCGUAUCUUCUAUACGACUCAUGCUCGACCUUUCGGUCCUCCAUGUUCCGAGGCCAUGUCUGUACAUGCUAGGCUCGUCAAGUCAACCUAAGUGUAUUGCGUGUGUUCCGAGGCCAUGUCUGUACAUGCUAGGCUCGUCAACACCCGUUGUAUUCGAACGUUAGAAUCUAUCACACCCGAUCAUCAUGUGGUGCUUCGAAACAACGAACCUUCGCAACGGUGCACCGUUAGGGUGAACACUUUCUUGAAAUUAUUAUAAGGGAUCAUCUUACUUACUACCGUCGUUCUAAGCAAAUAAGAUGCAAAAACAUGAUAAACAUCACAUGCAAUCAAAUAGUGACAUGAUAUGGCCAAUAUCAUCAUGCUCCUUUGAUCUCCAUCUUCGGGGCACCAUGAUCAUCUUCGUCACCGGCAUGACACCAUGAUCUCCAUCAUCAUGAUCUCCAUCAUUGUGUCUUCAUGAAGUCGUCACGCCAACGAUUACUUCUACUUCUAUGGCUAACCCGUUUAGCAACAAAGUAAAGUAAUUUACAUGGCGUUAUUCAAUGACACGCAGGUCAUGCAAAAUAAUAAAGACAACUCCUAUGGCUCCUGCCGGUUGUCAUACUCAUCGAUAUGCAAGUCGUGAUUCCUAUUACAAGAAUAUGAUCAAUCUCAUACAUCACAUAUAUCAUUCAUCACAUCUUCUGGCCAUAUCAUAUCACAUAGCACUUGUUGCAAAAACAAGUUAGACGUCCUCUAAUUGUUGUUGCAAGUUUUUACGUGGUUUGUAGGUUUCUAGAAAGAACGUUUCUUACCUACGUAUGACCACAACGUGAUUUGCCAAUUUCUAUUUACCCUUCAUAAGGACCCUUUUCAUCGAAUCCGUUCCGACUAAAGUAGGAGAGACAGACACCCGCUAGCCACCUUAUGCAUCUAGUGCAUGUCAGUCGGUGGAACCUGUCUCACGUAAGUGUACGUGUAAGGUCGGUCCGGGCCGCUUCAUCCUACAAUACCGCCGAAACAAGAAAAGACUAGUAGCGGCAAGAAGAAUUGGCAAACUCAACGCCCACAACUGCUUUGUGUUCUACUCGUGCAUAGUAACUACGCAUAGGCCUGGCUCAUGAUGCCACUGUUGGGAAUCGUAGCAUAAUUUAAAAAAAAAUUCCUACGCUCACCAAGAUGCAUCUAUGGAGUGUACUAGCAACGAGGGGAAGGGAGUGCAUCUACAUACCCUUGUAGAUCGCGAGCGGAAGCGUUCCAAUGAACGUGGAUGACGGAGUCGUACUCGCCGUGAUCCAAAUCACCGAUGACCGAGUGCCGAACGGACGACACCUCCGCGUUAAACACACGUACGGUGCAGAGACGUCUCCUCCUUCUUGAUCCAGCAAGGGGGAAGGAGAGGUUGAUGGAGAUCCAGCAGCACGACGGCGUGGUGGUGGAUGUAGCGGGUCUCCGGCAGGGCUUCGCCGAGCUUCUGCGAGAGAGAGAGAGGUGUUGCAGGGGAGGAGGGAGGCGCCCAAGGCUGUAGGUUGCUGCCCUCCCUCCCCCCUUUAUAUAGGCCCCUGGGGGGGUGCGCCGGCCCUGGGAGAUGGGAUCUCCAAGGGGGGGGGGCGGCGGCCAAGGGGGGAAGGGGUUGCCUUGCCCCCCAAGGCAAGGGGGAAGCUCCCCCCUAGGGUUCCCAACCCUAGGCGCAUGGGGGCAGGCCCAAGGGGGGCGCCCCAGCCCACUAUGGGCUGGUUCCCUUCCACUUUCAGCCCACGGGGCGUUCCGGGAUAGGUGGCCCCACCCGGUGGACCCCCGGGACCCUUCCGGUGGUCCCGGUACAAUACCGGUAACCCCCGAAACUUUCCCGGUGGCCGAAACUAGACUUCCUAUAUAUAAUUCUUCACCUCCGGACCAUUCCGGAACCUCUCAUGACAUCCGGGAUCUCAUCCGGGACUCCGAACAACUUUCGGGUUUCCGCAUACAUAUAUCUCUACAACCCUAGCGUCACCGGACCUUAAGUGUGUAGACCCUACGGGUUCGGGAGACAUGCAGACAUGACCGAGACGCCUCUCCGGUCAAUAACCAACAGCGGGAUCUGGAUACCCAUAUUGGCUCCCACAUGUUCCACGAUGAUCUCAUCAGAUGAACCACGGUGUCGAGGAUUCAAUCAAUCCGUAUGCAAUUCCCUUUGUCAUUCGGUAUGUUACUUGCCCGAGAUUCGAUCGUUGGUAUCCCAAUACCUUGUUCAAUCUCGUUACCGGCAAGUCUCUUUACUCGUACCGCAAUGCAUGAUCCCGUGACUAACGCCUUAGUCACAUUGAGCUCAUUAUGAUGAUGCAUUACCGAGUGGGCCCAGAGAUACCUCUCCGUCACACGGAGUGACAAAUCCCAGUCUCGAUCCGUGCCAACCCAACAGACAUUUUCGGAGAUACCCGUAAUGCACCUUUAUAGUCACCCAGUUACAUUGUGACGUUUGGCACACCCAAAGCACUCCUACGGUAUCCGGGAGUUGCACGAUCUCAUGGUCUAAGGAAAAGAUACUUGACAUUGGAAAAGCUCUAGCAAACGAAACUACACGAUCUUUUAUACUAUGCUUAGGAUUGGGUCUUGUCCAUCACAUCAUUCUCCUAAUGAUGUGAUCCCGUUAUCAAUGACAUCCAAUGUCCAUAGUCAGGAAACCAUGACUAUCUGUUGAUCAACGAGCUAGUCAACUAGAGGCUUACUAGGGACACGUUGUGGUCUAUGUAUUCACACAUGUAUUACGAUUUCCGGACAAUACAAUUAUAGCAUGAAUAAUAGACAAUUACCAUGAACAAAGAAAUAUAAUAAUAACCAUUUAUUAUUGCCUCUAGGGCAUAUUUCCAACAUCUUCUGCACCUCCAAUCCUAGAGGGCAUACGACCUUCUUUGCUGCGUAUGUACUGUCGGGCAAUUCGUUAUCCUUUGGAAGCUUCUUCUUCAAUAUUUUCAAUAGCUUCUCAAAUCCUUUGUCAGGCAAAGCAUUCUCUGGCUUCCACUGCAGCAAUUCCAGUACGGUACCGAGCUUUGUGUUGCCAUCUUCGCAAUUGGGGUACAACCCUUUUUUGUGAUCCUCUAACAUGCAAUCGAACUUCAGCUUCUCCUUUUGACUUUCGCAUUGCGUCCUUGCAUCGACAAUGACCCGGCGGAGAUCAUCAUCAUCGGGCACUGGUUCCUCUUGAUCUUCAGCAGCUUCCCCCGUUGCAGCAUCAUUGGGCACAUCGUCUGGUUCCUCUUGAUCUUCAGCAGCUUCCCCCGUUGCAGCAUCACCGUAUUCAGGGGGCACAUAGUUGUCAUCGUCCUCUUCUUCUUCGCCGUCUUCCAUCAUAACCCCUAUUUCUCCGUGCCUCGUCCAAACAUUAUAGUGUGGCAUGAAACCCUUGUAAAGCAGGUGGGUGUGAAGGAUUUUCCGGUCAGAGUAAGACUUCGUAUUCCCACAUGUAGGGCAUGGACAACACAUAAAACCAUUCUGCUUGUUUGCCUCAGCCACUUCGAGAAAAUCAUGCACGCCCUUAAUGUACUCGGAGGUGUGUCUGUCACCGUACAUCCAUUGCCGGUUCAUCUGCAUGCAUUAUAUAUAAUUAAGUAUGUCAAAAACCAUUACAGAACAUCAUGAAUAGAUAAUUAAGUGACCAAAUUAAUAGAAGUUCAUCAUCACAUUAAAACCAAAGUACAUACAUAGUUCUCAUCUAACAACAUAUAGCUCCCCAGAGCAUCUAAUUAAUCAAACCAUACAUUGAAACUAUGUAAAACAUUUCAAUGCGAAAACAAAUGCGAUCAUAAUCGCAACCAAGGUAACAAUUGCUCCAACGGCAUAAUGAUACCAAGCCUCGGUAUGAAUGGCAUAUUUUCUAAUAUUUCUAAUCUUCAAGCGCAUUGCAUCCAUCUUGAUCUUGUGAUCAUCGACGACAUCCGCAACAUGCAACUCCAAUAUCAUCUUCUCCUCCUCAAUUUUUUAUUUUUUCCUUCAAGAAAUUGUUUUCUUCUUCAACUAAAUUUAACCUCUCGACAAUAGGGUCGGUUGGAAUUUCCGGUUCACAUACCUCCUAGAUAAAUAAAAUCGAUGUCACGUUGGUCGGCAUAAUUUUCAUAAACAAUAAAUGAACCAAUAGUUAUAAAGAUAAUAUAUACCACAUCCGAAUCAUAGACAGGACGAGAGCCGACGGGGGCGGAUACCAAAACCAUCGCACUAUAUAAUAACAAGCAAUACAAUAGUAAGAAAAUUAGACAAGUAUCUAUCUAAAGUAAGAAUUUUUUUCUUUCAGAAAGAAGAUAAGAACAAGAGGCUCACCACGGUGGUGCCGGCGACGAGAUCGGCGCGGGCGAUCGUCGGCGGUGAAGACAGGAAUGGGACGUGACGGGACGCUAAACCUAGACAAAUCUCGAGGAAAAUGGAGCUUUGAGGUCGAGCUUUGAGAGGGGAAAGCUUAACUACUGUGGCUCGGGCAUUUCAUCGAACACCUCAUGUGCAUAGGAGGUGAGCUAGAGCACCACAAAGCCCUCCCCUCGCCGGCCAGAGAAAAACAGAGCACUGGAGUGCUCUGCUCGCGGGCGAGGGGUAUAUAUAGGCACCUCAUUGGUCCCGGUUCGUGGCAUGAACCGGGACUAAAGGGCAGCCUGUGGUCUCGGUUCAAGCCACCAACCGGGACCAAUGAUGGUGGGCCAGGAGCGAGGCCCAUUGGUCCCGGUUCGUCCCACCAACCGGGACCAAAGGGGCCAGACGAACCGGGACCAAUGCCCCCACGAGGCCCGGCAGGCCCCCGGCCUCACGAACUGGGACCAGUGCCCCCAUUGAUCCCGAUUCUGGACUGAACCGGGACUAAUGGACUGACCCGGCCUGAACCAAAGCCCUCUUUUCUACUAGUGGAGAGAGAGAGAGAGACGGAGGGAGGGAGGGAGGGGGAGAGGAGAGGAGAGAAGAGGAAGACGAUUGAUGAAAAUUGAUGGAAGAAACAAUUUCUAUCAAGCAAAAAGAGCUCAUCUCUAAGGUGGUGACUGUCAUAUCCACUACCUUAUCCCUUGUUGUCCAAAUCCUAUUUUUUAUGUAGAUGUUAGCAAAAGAUUGAUGAUGUAAGACCAUUGUGAUAUCCACAAAGGAACUUGUGUGCCCUACAAUUGAUAAUAAUGCUAGGAGAUUUGGUUAGCUACUUUCCAUUUUUCUUUACCAUGAUUUGGGGGUUAAUUUUCUGUCACUUUUUUUGUUGUUGAUGCUGCUUCAUUUCAAGGGGAAAAUUCACUUGAUAGUACAUAAGUGAUAUCAAAAUUACCAUUUCGUUUUGUUUUACUUUUCCUGCCACAAAGUAUGUGCUAAUUCCCAACAAAGUAGUAUCAUAUUAGGAUGCUAGAUAUUCAUUAGGGUUAGACCCACAUAGGCUUUAUGGAAGAAUGUAUCAUGAUGCAUCACAAUAAAGAGAUUCUUCAAAUGUUACAAACAAGAUGUAUGGAUGCAAAAAGGCUCACACAUACUACAGUACUGAUGUCAUCUUAAGAAAAUAAUUUAUUGUGUGUCCUCUUCACACACAGAAAGAAGAUGUUAAAUGUGCAUUAGCCGCACUUGGAGCAGUCAUGUACUAGCAACUUUACACACACACGCACACGCAUGGCACAUGUGAACUCCGAUUGGAUAUGGCACCUAGUAAACUCAUGCCACUAGAACCACACACACAAUGUACAUGUCAUACACCUUUUAACCCUUUCUCAACUGGCAUGUGAACCAACAUCUGAAUAUACAGGCGUGAGAGGCCGUGUGCUCUUGAUUUUUAUUUUACUUUUGGAAAACUGCCAACUUGUUCUUCCCCAUUUUUUUUCUCGUUGGGUGUUUCAUUCCAUACUCAAAAGUGCACAAGAGGAAUGGAUGUAAAGACAAGAUAAACAUGUUGAAAUUAAAGUACUAAACGCAAGGUAGACCACUAACAAAUAUCAUGAGCACCCAUGAUGAGAACUUCGCCAAAGGAACCACUCAAACCUUGCUUCUCUUAGUUGUUUUGAACCAUGGCAUGUUGAUAAAAAUAGCAUAUGCAUGUUCAUGUAUAUGUGAACAUGCCUAUACCAAGCAAAUGUACUCAAAACGUGAACUCAUAGUAUGACAUGGGCAUGCCUAACUGUACCUACUAAGUCUUGGCCCCACUAAAUACUUGAGCUUGGUCUCCUCAUCAAGACAAGCAGAUAACCACCUACCACCUUAUCUUUGCACUCAUUUGUUACCCUUGUUGACAUGCGUCGCCUUAGAACCCCUCGACCAUGGCAUGGUUCAACUGCUCUAAUGAUGCUAACUUACACAUGCAUAACUCAUUUCCUCACCUAUCUCCCUUGGAAAAAAAUUGAGUUGAUUUUCCGUUGUGACACCUUUGGCAGCACCACUCCCAUCAAUGGUACUCUACCACCUUGCAAAUAACAACUUCCCAUUGCUUCUCCUUUUGCGCCACCAAAUAGUAGAGUCACCUUCCCAGAGUAAGCAUAACUUCAAAUAUUUGACCUUGCUCUAAUAGUAAGUGUUGGCUCUAACACCAAGGAUCGAUCAUAUAAAAAUAACAUGAAUACAAACGGUCAACAUGUUUGCCAAAGGCACAUCUCAGCCUUGAUUUUUAUUCUUUAUUUCUUUUAAUAUGCAACCUCUUGGUACACAUGUCAUAUGAUGUUGAUGGUGGUGUGUACGCAUUUGGAGUAGGCAGCCAGGGAUGUUUCACCACACAUGGGUGGUGGGAUAGUCUACGAAUAGGCACGUACUCCACCCCUCACCUUAGGCAUGGUUUCGGUCGACUAUGAUUUUGUUGUUGUUCGUGUUUUUUAGUUAUAAUGUGUGUGAGUUGGUGUUGGUUGUGUGAUCCUUGUCAUGUAGAGGCAUGGCGUAUAUUCAUUAUGAUAUAUAUCCCCUUGAUGUUAUGAGUUAACAAAAGUGUCUUUUUAUCGGGAAAAUAACAUAUGUACUCGAUCUUUAAGUGUGACCUUUAAGUGUGACAUAGAUAAGCCUAACAUAACUUACUCAUACUCAAAGGCACACAUAUGGGAACUUGCCAAUGUUUGAUCUAACACUAUCACAACUUGGACAUGACGAAUGAAAACCUAAAAUUCCUAUCUAAACUCAUAGUACAAGGUCAUUUCUAACAAAAACUUUGCACGCUUGUUGCUUCCAUAUAUGGAUGAUACAUUGGCUUGCAUGUAUAGUUAGAAAAUUUAACCAUGUGCAUUGUGUGGAUGCACACUCCCUCUAUCGAGAUUUAUAAGCCCUGCGUGUAUCCCUAGAUUGUCAAUUUGGUUUAUGAAAUAUGAGUUAUAUAUCACAAAAGGUGUAUCAUUAAAUUUGUAGUCGAAAGAAAUUUCUAAUGGUAUGUCUUAUGUGAUAUAUAACUCAUAUUUCGCUGAUCAAAUUGAUGAUGUAGAGAUACAUGUGAGCCUUAUGAACCAGAAGGGAGGGGGUACUAUUUUUUUUAAUUUUGUGAAAAAGUUUGACAUGAUUUGCCAGAUUUUGUUGGAUAUCUAGCUGUUGUAACUUGUAAGAUACACCAAUUGUAAUGAUGCACAAUAUGUAUUUUAAAGAAGGUAUUUGAUUGGAAAAAUAUUGUUGGAAACAAUAAAUUUGACUCGAACACAAUAUGUGAUGGUUGCUAUGGGAAGCCGAGCCCUCUGGUCAUUAGGGAUGCAAAUUUGGAACCUUGAGGUUACCCUUCAACCCUCCAUAAUUCAACUAAAUGAACUAACUUUCAGAAUUUAUAUUAAUUAUUUUUGAAAUUUUAGUUCAUUUAAUUGAACUAAGGAGGGUCGGAGGGUACCCUAAAGGUUGGGAAUUUGCAUGCCUACUGGUCAUCAAUCUGCCUUGCAGCCCGGAGCUGUUCGACAUAGUGAUUUUCAGGGUUGGUCGGUCAGUGUACUCACCUGAUUUAGCAACAUUGUUUUGUAGUUCAGAAUCUACCGUGGCAUGUGGCUGUAAUGCCUUUUGCAUUUCCUAAUUAGGAAUUGUUGAUAAUGUUGUUUUUCAUGCUUUUUGCCUUUUUUUUGCUUGUUCGUCUUUGUUCUAGUCUGAGUGAAAAAUGUUGUAUUUCUCUAUACUAACGUGAAGAAACUGUAGAGUAUCAUUCGUCGGCUCGAAUUUUGCUGGCUUAGUAUAAGUGAUGUCAUAUUUUUAGAGUUGUGGACAUACCUGAAGAAAGUUGUGGAUCAUCUAAAACUGGUGCUAUUAUAAGAAAGUUCAUUUAUUUUAGAAAAUAUUCAUGACUUCAAAAAAAGUCUCAAAAUUCAAAGAAAAUCAUGAUUUUAAAAAUAUCCAUAAAUUUAGAAAAUAAUCGCAAAUCUUGAAAAUGUUCAUCGAUUUUAAAAAGGUAUUAACAUUUUAGAAAAAAUCACAAUUUAUAAAAUACUCAUGAUCAUUUUACAAAAAUAAGAGACUUAAAAAUUCUCAUGAAUUUUAAAAUUUAAAAUAAAAGUAGAAAAUAAAAAAUUCUAAACAAAAGCGGGCCGGCAUGAAAGUUCAAAACGAAAACGGGGGAUGCACCGGCCCAGUCUAGGCAUGGCCCUGUCGCGUUCACCCGAAACAACGUCCGCUCAGCCCUACCCAGUCGACCCGCAUAGCUUUCACGCAGGACCCGACCACAAGCAUCUAACCUGGAGACCCCUAAAAAAAGCAUCUAGCAUGGAUUGCAAGUUUGCAACUGCUAAAAUCUACCCUGGAUUGCCUAAAAAAAACAUCUAGCCUAGAAUAGUGUCUCAAAAAAAAAAAACGCAGGACCCGACCACACACACACAAAUAAUACUGCACGUAGCAGGAUGGAUAUACUACGGAUUAUGGAAGAUGCAGUUCAUGAGCGUCGUCGUCACCGUGGGCCGUUGUCGUCUUCGCCGUCGUCCUGGUGCUGGUGGUGUUGUCCUAUACUAUUCGGAAGAAAGGUCCCGAUUCGCCCUGUGUUCACAUGGCAUCCUUCCUUCCUCGCAAGUUGCGACUUGGAUAGAUAUACAUGAUUUAAUGCGCGUCGUGUUUUUCCCGGAACGUCGUCCACUCCCUCUGGUGGCUAAAUUUCAUGUUUUGACCCUUUUACGAUAGUUUAGCCGGAUUUGACCCUGGUCCGAAUUUUUUUAGAAUCUGAUCCUUUUUCUAUCGCCAUCGUGUCUGAUGGUAGGAUAUAACUACCUACCGCCAUGAGCCUUGACGGUAGGACUUAACUGCGCCAUCACGUUCAUUUAAGGUGGAAAUAACCUACCCAGAGUUUUUGGUAGUAGGUUGUGCAACCCUACCGUCAAAGAGUCUGGCGGUAGGCAUCGCAUCGUAAUAGCCUAUUGCGCUGGUCAUGCAUGUCACUAGUGGGACUAGCAUGUGGCAGAAAAGUGCACGCCAAAUUAACUAGUACUCCUAGUAGGCUCACUGUUACAUGCAUGUAGCAAGGACUAGCGUGUGGCAGAAAAGUGGGAGUAGUAUGUAGGCUAUUACUAGGCUCCAAGUUAAGUGUGAGCACGGGCUAGUAGUAGCUCCUAGUAGAGAGAUGCAUUGAUGCAUGCGCGUAUGUUGCGGAGAUAAAAGACAAGCGAGCUCACUGUUACCUGCAUGCAUGCCUGCUCCUGAUGGAUGGCCCAAAGUUUAAACGAGUGACUGCAGGAUUUAUGCAUGUGCACGUGCAGAGCCUACUGUCGUGCUCUUUGGCGGUAGGUUUGCACAGCCUACCGCCAAAGACUCUGACGGUAGGGUAUUUUUAAUGUUAAACAGAUGUGACGGCGCAAUUAAGUCUUAUCGCCGGGACCUCAGCGGUAGGCUGUUAUACCUUACCGCUGUCAAUUCCGACGUUAGGAAAAGGGUCAGAUCUUAAAAAAAAAAUCGAACCAGGGUCAGAUCCGGCUAAACUUUCACAAAAUGGUCAAAACACAAAAUUUUGCCCCCUCUGGUCAAGACUCGGGACGGAUCAUUGUUUCUACCGGGGCAGGUUUGUCUGCCUCAUGUUGGGCAGUGCCAACGUUGCCCGGGAUCGUACGCGAGAACGUAUGCGUGUGCGCACGCGUAUAUUACCUUGACAGUUGAUGAAUAGAUCGGAAGUUAUUCUCGUAAAAAAAAAGAACGUCAGUUUUUAGUCAUGAUAAAUCAAACGUUUCUUCAUGCCAAGUUGUAUUCAUCGAGGAUGACAAAUUUGGUUGGCGGGCAUGACAAAUCCGUCUCAGUUCAUUUUUGCCAAAAAAAAUGUCAUACCCGCAGACUAAAAUUGUCAUUUUUGCACCAAUAUAAAUUAUCAUGAAAAAUGUUUAAUUUGCCAUGUCCAAAAAUCUGGCGCCAGAUUUUCAGACUUUCGUUUGUGUUGGUUUCGAUGUUGAUGUGCAUCUGCGCGUCUGAUGAAGUAUGAUGCUUCAUGUUCCCAAAAAACCAAUUCAUGAAAUUCUAACUUAUGAUUGCCGAACUAUGCUAUGUCGACGUCUUACAAAAAAAUAUUCCAAAAGUAAAUCAUAAUCAUUGAAACCAAAACCAAAUAAGGCAAAUUAAACCAGGUCAUACUUACUAAUGUGUUGGAUGCAACAAAACAAAACCACUACACUUGUCACAAGGAUGGCAUAUCUCCUAUCGAGCAGCGUCUGCUAUUCUUUUCAUGAACCGUUUUCCUCCUUCCCAAGAAGAGGCUCCCAGGUGACUAGGGUUUCCCCUCCUCUAGUCGGCACUGCCACCGGUCCGCCCCGCCUCCGAUUGCCUUUGGUCCGUGGAGGUGCGGAGAACCAUAGGCUCUAGCCGUCAAGAGCGACCCCUCUCUCAUUCUUGUUUGGUUCAACGUCUUGGUUGCGGCUAUGUGGCGGCGGCGAUCUCCCCUAGUAGGGAUAAUGUCUCCCACGUUCGAUCCUUGCCCUGAUGGUGCGUAUAGCAUUGCCGGAGGGCCUGUGGUGGAGUGUCUCCGUCAGAUCUCACUUGAUUCGAUCGGUGCUGGUCCUCGAUGUACCAGUUUGGAUCCAGUAUUUGGUCAUGUGUCUACAAGUUUGAUCUUACGAUCUACGCUUCUCUUCAUUGGCGACGAAUGUUGUUCUAGUGUGUUUGUCCUAUGGGGGGCUUACCACAACGACUUCCUAUAUAAUACAACAAUGUUUGACCGGCUCUGGCGAGUGAGGGCGAUGACUGCGGCGCGCCUUUUAAGUCAUCGCUAGGUGCCACAUGGACCUAGCGGUAAUUUUUGUUAUUUCUGUUGUUCUCUGCAGUGCCAUGACAGAUGAUGGAUAGAUUGAAAGUUUCUCCUGAAUAAAUUUUGUAAUACAACCAAACGGAUCCCAAGAUGUGUGAAAGAAAAGGAGGAUCAACCAAACGCGAUUGUCAUAAUUCACAUAUGUGUUGCCGUUCACACAAAAUAUCCUAACCGAGAAACAAUGCCCUAUAAAAAUUUGGGCGGUUAGAAAACAGAUGUGCAUCAUUGCCAUUUGGCAUUUAACACUGACUGAAUAUUAGAUGUACGGAUGUAUUCCGGGGAGAGAAAACCAAAGAGCAUUGGUUGAGUGGUUAUUAGUGAGGCGUCUAUACAUCCGCGGGUAAGCAUAGCAAUAUGGCUUACCCGUGCUUGUUCACUGUACACACGCCCUCCAACCUUGCCCGUUGCAAUAAUUUAUUACGGUACGUUCCAACCAACUUAACCGGAGACGCCCCUUCCGUCCAUCUCGGCUCCCCUCUGGGCUGAGCUCAGUCCUCACUCCACGUCCGCGUCUCCUGCUGACUCCGCCUCCUUGCCCGGUUCCACGGAUCACCGUCACCCUCCUCGCAUGGCUUCUCCAAGGUACGCACGCGCGGUCGAUCAGCAGAUCUCUCUCUCCCUCUCUGUCUCCCCUAGGAUUUUCCUCGUGUCUCUGAGAUUUCUCAGGAACCAGAGGAGCUGAAUGUUUCUGAUAUUCGGUGGCCAUCGCGGUGAGCGGGAGCAGGAGCAGCAGGCACGCGCUCAAGUGGGCCCUCGACAAGUUCGUGCCCGGCGGGAGGGUCCUCUUCCGGAUCCUGAUCUUGACAGCGGCAGCAUCUAUGAACAAAUUUUAUGGUUACAGUGUCACAAGGUCACACCUGCAGAGUGCAGAGUUUUCUCCUUGAGCGUACUGCAUUAUCGUUAGGUUGAUGAAUAUGAGCUUUUCUUGUACCAAGUGAGGGCAAUUUGUGAUUAAGGGUUAUUCAUAAGGGUGUACCGGCUGUUCUUUAGUCGUUGCAAUUAUUCAGAACACUGACCUGCUCUGCUCUUCAUCCUCUGAUGACAGUGGGCAAUACAUCCCGGUCUCGCAAGUGCGCGACGACGUAACAUCGGCAUAAAGUGUGUAAUAAUAUGCAAGGUUUUUAACCGUUUCUUGUUGAAACCUUGCUGUUAGUUACACGACAACUUGGGCAUCCAGCGUGUCGAGCACGAAAUCAAGCUUCGAGAGAUUGACCUGACAGAAGAAAUGGUGAGGAGAUUGCUAAGGCGAAUGGAGAGAGAAGAAGAGGAGGUGGCCGAAAGAGAAGCUCAACCUAUACAAAGCUCUUCUGGACAGAAAGCAACAGAGGGUGAUGGUGAUCACCAAAAUGCUGGAGAGAUCAACACAGGACUGAAAAAUGCCGGACGAUGUUUAACCGAGUACAAUAGGUACUCUUGGGAGCAUAUCCAAGCGGCGACUUCAUCGUUUUCAAGUGAUCUUGUGAUUGGUAAGGGGACAUAUGGAACAGUCUACAAGGCUAAGUUUCAGCAUACAGUUGCAGCAGUGAAAGUCUUGAACUCCCUGGAAGGUUUUGGAACUUAGCAGUUACAGCAGGAGGUACUGUAUUUACUUGGAAACACAAAUAUGUUCUUCAUUAUCUGCUCAUUACACCCAGAGGUUAUUUUUUGGCAAACAAAAUUGAGAAAUUUUAAGACACUACUGAGUUAAUAUUAGCCGUUAAUUUUUGAUGAUCCAAUGACUCGUGCCUACUAUUAAUAGGUGAAAGCCUAUAAAUGACUAUAUGGGGCUAAAAAUAUGAAAUUUGCAGGCUGUUGAAAUGAGAAGGUAUAUCAUAUAUUGCCAUUAAAGCACAAUGGUAAAUAAAUAAAGAUAUAAUUUUAACUAAUGCUAUCUAGGUUUCUAUUUGGCUAGACUACACAUCAAAGCUAUGGUUCUUAUUUUCAUUUUGACUUCAAAUCUUGACUAAAAUAUUCAUCCGUGACCUUGGACGGUGAGAUCAAAUAUUUAUCUUACAUCUUAGAUGGUAAGCAGAGCAUCUUAAGACUGCUGAACAAAAUUAACUCCAACAGAAAGUGUAAAUAAAAAUCCAAAGAGGGAUGCAAGGAUUCAUCAAAUAAGUUUGGCUAAUAUCAGACACCUAUGACUAUUUUUUUUUUCAAAAAUCAAACAGCACUCAAUUCAGUAUUUACAAAUGGACUGUGACUAGAACAUUUUAAGGAAUUCAUUAAAUGAAUUUGGCAAAAACAAUGGUUUUUAAUCAAAAUCAAAGAGAAUUCCAGUUCAGCUUUUAGAAAUGGACUGUCACUGCAACAUGUAUCUUUAUUCUGAACUUUGCGUUUUGCAAGUGCUCAUCUCAUCUUAAAUCUUUGCUGCAUGCAGCUGGAGGUUCUGGGCAAGAUCCGGCACCCUCACCUGCUGCUGCUGCUGGGCGCCUGCCCGGAGCGCGGCUGCGUGGUGUACGAGUACAUGGAGAACGGCAGCCUGGACGAUGCUCUCCACCACCGCCGGAAUGGCAUGCCGCCGCUCGCCUGGUACGACCGCGUCCGGGUCGCCUGGGAGGUGGCCACCGCCGUCGCCUUCCUCCACAGCGCCAGGCCGGACCCCAUCAUCCACCGCGACCUCAAGCCGGCCAACAUCCUGCUCGACCGGAACCUCUCCAGCAAGGUCGGCGACGUCGGCCUCUCGACGGCGCUCCUCCACCACUCGGGAGCCGGAGGAGGAGGAGGCCAGCAGCAGUCCACGAUGGUGAGGAACACGACGCCCGUGGGCACAUUCUGCUACAUCGACCCGGAGUACCAGCGGACGGGCGCCGUGUCGGCCAAGUCAGACGUGUACGCGCUCGGCGUGGUAGUGCUGCAGCUGCUCACGGGGAGGACGUCGCCGCUCGGGCUCGCCCACGCCGUGGAGACCGCGCUGGAGGAAGACGGCGGUGACUCCUUCACGGAGAUGCUGGACGCAACCGCCGGAGGAGGCGCGGGAGCUGGCCGCACUUGCGCUGCGGUGCGCAGAGAUGCGGCGCAGGGACCGGCCCGGGCUGCGCGAGCACAUCCUCCCGGCGCUGGAGCGGAUCAAGGACGUCGCUGCCAGAGCCGCCAGGGAGACGAAGGCCCUUCUCCUCCGGACAGCAUCAUCGUCAGCAGCGCCGGGCCACUUCCUCUGCCCCAUUCUUCAGGAAAUCAUGGAGGACCCAUGCGUCGCCGCCGAUGGGUACACCUACGACCGGAAGGCGAUCGAGACAUGGGUGAGCAUGAAGGACAAGUCGCCGAUGACCAACCUCCGGCUGCCGAGCAAGAGCCUCAUCCCCAACCACUCGCUCCGGUCGGCCAUCAUGGACUGGAGCUCCAAGAACAGAUGAUGAUGCACACAAUGUUAGAUAGACCUUGUGCAGAAAUAGUCUCGGGAAAUAUAGCUGUUGUGUUGUGUUGUGUAGGUAUACCGAAAUGUGCAUCUGAUUCCUCAGAAAAAUAUGAAAUGUGAAUAAACAAAAAAUCACUCUUAUCAUUUACUUUUCUUUACAUUAAAAUAAAAAAAAUCCAGUAGGAAAACCUACUAUUCUCCUAAAAAUCCAUUUAUUUUCCUGAGGUGUACCGUUUGCAGACUUGUUGAGAAUUACUAUAAGAUGUUUCAGCUAUAUAUAUCGAGAUGUGCAUGUGAUUCCUCACCAUUUAGCUGCCAGCUGUCUGUACAUAUUGUGCAGAAAAAGAAGAGGCCGUACUGGCCAUGUGGAAUAACACCAGGUCCAUUCAUAUAUACAACUAGAAUUCUUUUUGGGAAAAUGCAAAAGAGUUUGCGUUUCAUUUCAUCCCAUUGUUAGAGUCCAGACCAAAAUGAAGCCUUCCCGUGCGUUUGGAUUCUGGGCCGUUGGAUUGCGUUUCCAAAACGAUCCUGGCCGUCGGAUGUUCAGGUGGAGCGAUCUGGGCCGUCGGAUAUUGAGAUGAGCGAACUGGGCCAUCGGAUCGAAGCCGAACACUGCUUAGCCAUGCCACCGCAUGUAAUUUUGGUUGCCCACCAAGGGUAUUUCCGUCAUUUCAUAUGUUAGCGUAUAAGUGCAGCAAGUCACCUCCCGCACACGCGCACCCCGCUCCAUCCUCGCCUCGCAACUCCCCUCCCGUAACCCUAGCUCCCCCUCUCCUCUGCGCCGCCACCACCACCCCCUUCUCUCCGUCACGCCCCUCCCUUCCCCUCAUGCCCCAGCCGUCGCCGCCGCUCCCCGCGCCCCCUGCACCACCGUCGCCACGCCAUCGNNNNNNNNNNNNNNNNNNNNNNNNNNNNNNNNNNNNNNNNNNNNNNNNNNNNNNNNNNNNNNNNNNNNNNNNNNNNNNNNNNNNNNNNNNNNNNNNNNNNNNNNNNNNNNNNNNNNNNNNNNNNNNNNNNNNNNNNNNNNNNNNNNNNNNNNNNNNNNNNNNNNNNNNNNNNNNNNNNNNNNNNNNNNNNNNNNNNNNNNNNNNNNNNNNNNNNNNNNNNNNNNNNNNNNNNNNNNNNNNNNNNNNNNNNNNNNNNNNNNNNNNNNNNNNNNNNNNNNNNNNNNNNNNNNNNNNNNNNNNNNNNNNNNNNNNNNNNNNNNNNNNNNNNNNNNNNNNNNNNNNNNNNNNNNNNNNNNNNNNNNNNNNNNNNNNNNNNNNNNNNNNNNNNNNNNNNNNNNNNNNNNNNNNNNNNNNNNNNNNNNNNNNNNNNNNNNNAGGAGGCUCCCGUGGCCCGCCUGCCCGGCGCCCCGGCGGCAGUCCUGCCCACCGGCGUGCAGGAGGCAGCAGGGGGAGGGCGGAGGGGCUCACCGGCUCACCGUCAAGCCACAGUGGCGGAUCUGUCCUCAAGCCACAGCCGCGGACGCCGAGGUCGUUGACGCCGGGCAGGGGAGGUCACGGGGCACGUCUCGGCCUUGUUCCCGACGCCGACAACCUCAAUCUCCAACCCUAAGGUGAAUGCCCUUCCAGACUCCCAAUAUGAAAUUCAGUCGUUGACCUGCACAUUUGUAGCUCCUGUUUGGAUUUAGAGAGAUAAGAUUCAUUUCACUCUGUGCCCGUCCUGAUCUGAUUCAUUUCAUUAGUACGGCUGGUAGCUUGGUAUGGAUUGGUCCUAGGGCCAAGUGCAAUUCUAGGGUUUUGCUGCACCACAUUUGAGUGCCUGUAAAUUUCGGUUUGUGUGCUCUCAUUUCAAUCCGCGAUAGGUUUCAGUUUGGUGUUUGUGUUUGUGGCUGAAGCUGUUUGUCACUAUUCAGCAGAUUUUGCCUAGCUGGCGCCUGGUAACAUGACACCAACGGUCCUCAUGGAGUAUAGGCCGCAGAUGCAGAUUAAACGGAGCUACGUUGAAAUAGCUUACCGGGGCAUGGGGUAUGCAGAGACUGUAGGUGGGUCGGGCAGCCCUGUUCGUGUUGACUCUGAAGAUUCAUCUGCGCCAAAAUGCAAGUGCAUCAGCCUUAAUAGCGAUGGCUUUGAUGUGAAGCAAGAGAUCUUUGUCCCGUCUAAGUUGUCGUCGUCUGAGCGGCGCUACCUUCGAAAGAGAUUCCGGGCAGAGCUUGGUUCUGUCAUGUAUCUCCUCAAGAGGCCAGAGUUUUUUUCCAUCAUGCCUGUCAGCCGAGCACCAUCCGACGCUUGACUGUAUAUUAUCAUGCUUAUCAAGUUCUUUCCUUAUGUCAAUUUUACAGAUAAAUUCAUUUGUGUCAAGUAUCGCUUUUUUCCAUAUGAACAUGACAAGUUGUCAUAUAUUGGCUUGUCAAAUCUAUCGGGUGCCAAGUUCACUUGAAAUAUUCUUAAUUCUGUUUCUUCUGAUUUUGGUGUUGGUGUAUGUAUUGUUAGUGAAAAUAUGCUCACAGUUUUUUUUUUUGAACUAUGUGUAUACCAUUAACUGAUGUCAUUAUGUUUUCCAGGGGUAUAUGGACCAGAAAUGAUGUGAUAUACUUGGUUAUUUGAACAUGAAGGUCAACCAUGGGGAGGCGCGACAUGGCGUGGCCUCAGCCCAUUAGGUGUCCUCUCUUUUUGCCUAUUGUUUCCUCUGGAACUCUGAUUUUGUUUGGCUUAUGAAGGCACAUUCAUCCUGCAAGUACAAUCAUGAUUAAGAUUUAGAACGCCCUGCACGCCGGUUUACUUUCUUUCGUACAUUGAUUGCUAUUUUUUAUGCCUUAUAUCCUACGCCUCAUCACACAAUAGUUUGGUAAAGAAAGAGUGAACCCACUCAUGAAUUUGCACUAAUUAUAUAUUUAUGUCACUAUUAAUAAUUUGUAUUUACUUUAUCUGCUCUCGUGAGUUCGUCGAGUUCCUUUCUCAAUGUGCUUAGAUGCUUGUGCAACAGCAGAAGUAAUUGUUGAUUGGCUUAGCCUUUGUGUCGGUUUCAUAUGUAUAUAUGUCAUUGGCCUAGCUAACAUCACGUGUCAGUAAUUUGUGCUUUCUUUCUUUGGGAUAAUUAUGCCUAGCUGGAAACAGAGAGGAGUCAGGUAGCCUGCUACUGUUCCUUUUGUUUGCUACUGUUCCUUUUGUUUUCUAAAGUGUCCCUUCAAUUAAUCCAGUAACCUGACAUUACUUUGUGUUUAACUAAUAUCAUUCUUAUCACAGUGAGUAUUAUAUUAUUCAGUUAGCCUCCUUUUCGUCGAAGAGGCGUGAAAGUGUAGAGGGUAGAAAUGGUAAUUGAAUGGGUGUUCUCUUUUUACGCAAGCAUUCUCCUCCUUAUCUUGCUAUUUAUGCAUCUCCGUAUUUCAUUGGUAUUCUUCCGAUUUGCAGUGAUUAUAGGAAGCGCAUACAUGGGUGAGUUGAAAUUGUUCUACUGAUUCCUCGAUGCUCUGUUCAUGGCUUUGUUCUUAUUUUAUCCUUCUUUCUUUUCUUUGUUCUUUCCUACAAGAAGAUGCCGAGUCGUGCAAUAUGUUCAAAGAAGAGAGAAUCUGCAUUUUAUGAAUGUUUUCUUCUUUCUUCAUUGUUACCUCGAGUUAGUGAAUUCAGUUAAGUUGUACUGAGCAGCUAAUGCACAUCUUAUUCAGUCACGAGGCCAUUAAGAUCUUUUUGACUUUUACUAAAAGGGAGAUGCCAUUUAGACCUUGCCCUGUCCAACUUGAUCUUUAACUUGCUACUACUGUUUGUAAGCAUUUUCCCAAGCACUGUUUUAUUUGCUUCAGUGAAUCAGGUCACCUUAUUCAGUGGAUGUUCCAAGUAAAAAAAUUAGAAACUGAGCAAUUAGUUCCACUCUUGAAUUUUGUACAACAGUCCAAAUUAUCCAAUAAAUCAUUUGUUAGCAGGGUCUACUUAUAGAAGUUGAAUCAGUUGUUCCAAAUUACCAGUCGAAUGCUGUACAACACAGUGAACUGUUCCAUUCUUAGACGUUGAGCUGAAAUUUCCUUAAUCUGGUUUCUCAUCGUCGGCUGCCCCUCGAGCUAAAAAUGUUCAACGGGGGAGCCAUGUUCUCCGUGGUGCCAAGGGACGCUUCUUGCCGACAAAACCCUGGCCCGAAAUAUCUACAGUGUUGCCUGAAGCUACAAUUCUGAAGCAGUGCGAAGCUAUUCUGAAGAAGCUGAAAUUUAGUCAUAUUUUUAAUGUUCCAGUAGAUGUGGAAAGGCUGAAUAUUCCAGAUUAUAAUGAAAUUAUCAAGCACCUGAUGGACCUUGGGACCAUCAAGAAGAAGCUAGAUUCUGGUUCCUACCAAAGUUUUGGAUUUCGUCCGAGAAAACCAAAAUUCCAGCGAUUUUCGUCCAUCUCGUUACCGGCCCAAAAAAUUCGGCCACUUUUAAACUCACAGCCCAGCCCAUGGUCUACUACAGCCCACACAAACCCCCCUGUGGUAUAAAAGCAUGAAUUCUGUGGAGCAAGGUUCAGGGCUGGAUUGAAAGCACCAUCUCCUCAGCGGGAAAGGAAGUGUUGGUAAAAUCUGUGGCACAAGGAGUACCGGUCUUUUCUAUGUCUUGCUUCAAGCUUCCAAGAGGUUUAUGUGAACAUCUGAACAUGCUUAUUAGGAAAUUCUGAUGGGGUAGUAAGGAAGGAAAACGGAAGCCUCAUUGGGUCUCCUGGAAAACUAUGACGCAGCCCAAGGGCAUGGGGGGUCUGGGGUUCAAAGAUUUUGAACUCUUCAACUUAUCAAUGUUGGCGAAACAAGCCUGGAGGCUGCUACAGAAUCCAGAAACCUUGAGUGCUCGUAUCUUGAAAGGCGUAUACUACCCAAACUCGGAUAUACUGGGCGCGGAACUAGGAAGCCAUCCCAGCCAAGUUUGGCGUGCCAUCAUCGAGGGCAGGGAUACACUACGGCAGGGAUUAAUCAGACGGAUUGGGAACGGAGAAACAACACACAUAUGGGGUCAGAACUGGCUGCCCCGAGAGGGGAUGUUUCGUCCCCUUGGAAGUAUCGCCCCCAAUCCCCCCAAUCGGGUGUCCGAGCUCAUCAUUGCCGCAACCGCAUCUUGGAACAGGCAACUUGUCCAACAACAUUUUAUGCCAAUAGAUGCACAAGUUGUACUAGCAAUUCCUUUGUGCACAAGAAACGUAAGUGACUUUUGGGCUUGGUACUAUGAGAAAAAUGGAGCUUUUACUGUAAAGUCGGCGUACAAGAUGCUUGUUGCCACUAAACAAAGAAGGGAGGCGUGGUUAGAAGGGUCUGCGGGAACUUCAAACUCCAUUGCAGAGGAGGGAUCAUGGAAGAGAUUAUGGAAGACGGAGGUGCCGGGGAAAAUUCGCAUGUUCUUAUGGAGACUGUCGAAGCACUCCCUCCCAACAAACGAUGUCAGGGCAAACCGACACAUGGCUACCUCUGACCAGUGCGGGCUUUGCGGUAACCGGGAUUCAUGGCGUCACUCCUUGCUAGAGUGCUCAUCAUCAAGGAGCGUUUGGGCGCUCAUUGAUGAGGAUGUCACACAUAAAAUCAUAGGGAGCACGGAGCCAAGUGCGAGGCAGUGGCUGUUCACUCUCAUGCAAAUGUUAUCACAUGAUCAGUUCAUCCUUGCAGCAGUUACACUAUGGUCCAUCUGGCAUGCCCGACGCAAAGCUAUUCAUGAAGCCAUAUUUCAGAGCCCCCAAUCUACCUUUGACUUUAUUGGACGUUUCUUGGCAGAACUAGAUACUAUAAAGACGAUGGAACGAGGUCAGGUCGCUGCACCAGCGGCUGCCGCACCCAUUCAACGACGGCCGAAGAAACCUCCUGCUGGGUGGUGCAAGAUUCAUGUGGACGCCGGGGUUAUGGAAAGAAGAGGAGGAUCUGCGGCAGCAGUUUGUAGAGAUUCGGCCGGAAACUACAUGGGCAGCUCGGCCCUAGUGGUCGAGGGAGUGGAAGACGCGGCGACACUUGAAGCUCUUGCUUGUCGGGAGGCGUUAUCCCUUGCAGAAGAUAUGGGUAUCCAGAACUUUGUUAUUGCCUCGGACUGCCAGCAAGUCGUCUCAGAUAUCAAUAGGAGGUCACACGGUACGUAUGGAGCAAUUAUCGCGGAAAUAAACCUUAGAGGUUCUUCCUUUCACUGUAUUUUUUCUUUUGAGAGUCGUGCUGUGAAUUAUGAAGCACAUAGUUUAGCCAAGUUUUCUCUUUUGAGAGGUCCGGGACGCCACGUCUGGUUUGGCGCUCCUCAUGACCAGAGAUGUAUCCCACUCCAUGUGGACUUUACGGAAUAAACUUGGUUUUUCCCCUCAAAAAAAAAAAUCUCCUCCUAACCCUAAAAUUCACUUUUCCCGUCUCCAUCCGACUGAGCGGCGGCUGUGGGCAACGGAACCCUAGCGAGUGAGGCGGGGGCGCGGUGCAGCGCCGCCUCCUCCCAUCCACCUCGUCUCCCUCCCUCCCAAUCUCCUCCCUCGUCUCCUUCCCUCCCAAUCUCCUCCCUCCCAGUCUCUUUCCCGUCCAUGGACGGUGGUGGCAGCGCCAUGGAGCACGGCCCAUCAAUAAUUUCCCAUUUAUGCACUUUCUUAUAUUCUGUCAUAAACAUGUGAUGUUUGCUUUAGUCCAUAUGAUUUUCAAUGUUGUUUCAAUUGGGGUUGCCAUCUAUUAAUUGUUGUUUCUGCCAUCUACUUGAUGUUUAUAUAAUUCACAAUGCUUUAGUCCAUAUGAUUCUAUAUGGUGUUUCAAUUGGGGCUGCCAUCUAUGAGUUGUUGCUGCCAUCUACUUGUAAUGUUUAUAUAAUUCACAAUGCUUUAGUCCAUCUGAAUUUAUAUGUUGUUUUAAUUUGGGCUGUCAUCUAUGAGUUGUUUCUGCCAUCUACUUGUAAUAUGUAUAUAAUUCACAUUGUUUCUGCCCAUAUGAUUUUAUAUGUUGUUCCAAUUGCGGCUGCCAUCAUUGAGUUGUUGUUUCUGCCAUCUAUGUUUAUAUAAUUCACAAUGCUUUAAUUGCAAGGUUAAGCGGCAUGGGAGCAAAAGAGCUUUUGGUUUGAUGAAGACUAACGGGUGGAUGAACAGGAAGUCCGAAGUGAAGGUCUCUGUUCGAUUCAAUACUUUUGGUGCAAGACUGAAGAGUUGAAGAACAGGAAGUCUGAAUUGAACUUUCUGUUUGUAUUUUGGGGUCGGCAUAAUUGAACUUUGAAUGCCGUGUUAAAUUCAUCAUGGACUGUAAUUCUGAACCGUUAUGGGUGUUCGUUUCGACUCUUGGUAGAACUAUUAAGUCGCAUGUUACUCUUAGUAUCUGAACUAUUAAGUCACAUGUUAAUCUGGACUAUCAUGUUGCUUUUCUAAUGGUUGCUGCUCUCUGAAUCGAUCCACUAUGCUAUUGUCUGAAUGGUUGCAACUGGAGUGUUGAUGUUCAGUCUGAUACAUAGUGAUUUGAUGAAUAGAUUCAGCUGUUUGAUUUUUACAUGCAUAUUUUGCUAAAAGUUUUGAAUACUCAUUUGUUGUUCUGUU
This 68075-nucleotide long non-coding RNA is filed under the name Triticum aestivum (bread wheat). RNAcentral's name for it is "long non-coding RNA (TAES_LNC017454)". The record is from RNAcentral. Lineage: Eukaryota; Viridiplantae; Streptophyta; Magnoliopsida; Poales; Poaceae.